UGAUGAUAUAAGCAUCUGGGGUGGGCUUAACUCGAACCCAUUCUCCAUCGGUUUUUCGAUUUACUUCCAACCCUCCAACAUCAUCCUGAGCAAGGAAAGUUAAGGCUCCGGAAUCCUUGUGGCGACCAACGCCCAGAGCUAGGUGAGGAAUGGAGCAAGGUGGGUAGUGAUUGAGGCGGAUGAAGUUUGUUGAUUCUUCAUUCAGGGAUUAUUUCAUCCCUUUUAACCAAAUAUUUAACAUGAUCAAAGACUAUUCCCUAAAUGAAGGCAUACUGUAGCAAAUACCCUUAAUCUGAACAUUGAAAGUACAACUUAAACUAGUAUCAAACACUCUGUUUUUAAACCCAUAGCUACUCCAAAUAUCCCAAAUACUCUUUUCUAUGUAACCUCUCUUUGUCUCUUUCUCGCUCACACACACAUGCUUCCCCACAAAAAUACAUACACACAUAGAGAAGAACACAAUCUCUUAUCCGAUUCCCUUCCGAUUUAUGAUUCUAAGCUGGCGGGUCACUCUCUUAUUCUUUUGCUUUCUUGCGAUGGAGCUCCAUGCUCUCCUUUCCUCAUUUUUUUUCUUGGAUAAAUACUCUAUAAAACAUCCUCUCUCGAUGCUCUAUCUAAACUCACUUGCUCAUUUCACAUUUUUUUCUUUUUGGAUGCUUUCUUUAUGCUCCCAGGCAUAUGCCAGUUUUUUAUGACUAUUUUUGAAGUUGGGAUUCAGAAUUCACUAAAAUCUUUUCUCAAACUUGGAUUUUUCUCAACUCAACCCUAACUUCUUUUCUAUCAGUACCAAGGCUAGAGAAUAUAGUUUAUACCCUUGUAUUUCGUUAUGUACCAAGCCCACAAGAUGAUCAAUAAGUUUCUCUCUAGAUUUUACAUUGGAGUUGAUUGAUGACAUACCCUUAUUAGGUACUAUAUUCUCUUCCUUAGGUAUUGCUUUUUCCUUCCUUAGAUACUACCUUUGCAACCUUGGGUGCACGAUCGAAUCCAUCGUUUCAUGGCCACUUCAAGUAAGUCAGGAACUUAUGUACAUGUGUGCUACAUGUCUUAUAGGUAUUACCUUUACAUUCUGUAGGUACUACCUUUACCUUCCAUAGGUACAAAUAUGAUUAAUAAUAAGAAUUUUAACAUAAAAAAGGGAAAAAUCAUGUCUGAUAAUAAAAUUGCAUAUAUUUUCUUUCUUGCUUUUUUUUUUUUUUUUGGGUCUUUGCUUUGGUUUUUAUUUAUGUGUUUGUUUCUUUUAGUCUUUGUGUGUGUGUGUGUUUUAUUUUAUUUUAUUUUUUUCAUCCCUAUGCAGAAGAUGUAGAGGAAGCAACAUCACAUCAUAAGGUGCAUUUUUCUGUUCAUUUAAGCCUAAAGGUUCUGGAUUCACAAAAUGGUGGGAACUAAGGGUGAGAAACUGGAAAAAAAAAUGUUGGAUUGAGCUACAUUUGAUCAAUAGUGAAUUUGCAAAAAAGAUUGUAGGAGAGGUUUCUUGAGGUGGACAAGGUCAGAAGCAAGGAGCCUUUUCCUAGUUUUUGGGAAGAACUUAUUGUUAACGUGUGAAUUCAUUAAGGGUAAUUUAUGUAAGAUUUUCUAGAUUUUGCAAGUGAAUGCACCUUAGCUUUUCCUAUUGUAUUUGUGUUUUUUUAGGUUGAUUAUUUUAUUGAUCGUCACCACUCAAGGAAUGGAAGCAAUAGGGUCUCUAGAUGUACUGCGUAAAGGCGGGCAUACAGGCGUUGUUAGGAAUGUGUUUCCCAUGUCCAACAAGCAUAUUGACACCACCUAAAGCCAAGGCAUCUUUGGACGAGGAGUUCUAGCUUCUACUUCUGUGGACUUUGUAGAUGUCGUCUGGCUCUUCUAAAUAUUUAUUGUUAUGUAGUAGUUAUACACAUGUACUUUGUUUAAGUGAAUUGAUUAUUGGAUUUUUAGUUAAAUCAAAUUUAAGGGUAUGUUGUUUAAUUUACUAGUGAUCUCUUGUUUGUAAUUCUCGUUAUCAUAUAUAAAUCUUUGUUAGCAUUUUCCAAUUUCCUCAAUAGCAACUAUAUUAGUUUUCAGUGGAAUGAAUCUUGAGUAACUUGUAGUAUCAUUUUUGGUUUUGAAUUGACUAAUCUGUUUUGGAAGGAUGAAUUAGAUAUAUGAGCUUGAUUGCUAACAGUAGUUGAGUUUGUUUUGAUCUCGGGAUAUUUGCCUUGUUGAAUAGGACGUAGAUUUUGGGUCCAAAGAGUUGAAAAUUGAUGAGCUUAACCAAGACAUAGGAGAACCACAUGCAACACUAACCAGAGUUCCUACAACAAGCUAAUAACCAUGAUUUAGAAAUGUGAUUUCGUUAAAGGGAAGCAUUUCUAAUCUUAUUUGAAAGGAAACUUUGAUGUCUUCCCUAAUACACUAGAAUAUUAAUUUAAAAACAACAAUUAAGGUUAUAUUAACUAUUAUAAUAAUUUAUAAAUUAUAUAAAUAUGAUAAUAACUAUUAAAAUGAAAGUAUUAAAUGUAAAAAAGUUUAAUCUUGUUGGGUAAAAACUUCAUCAAUCUUUUAUUAUUGAACUUCUAUUAUAUAAUCAAACAUAGUGAUGAUCCUCGGUUGGAUUAAUCAACACUUGUUUCAUAAAUUGAACAACAUAUAACAUGAUCAACCAUAAACAAACAAGUAAACAUCAUACUAGAUAAAACUAUCUCUUAAGAUUUCUAUUAUUACAUGUUUAAAUUACAAAUCAUAUUUUUGCAACUUUCGUAAAAUUAUGCAAUAGAUAUGAUUAAAAUUACGAAACAUCGGAAAUGUAUAUUGAUUCAUUAUUCAGAUUCAUCAUAUCAUAUAUAUCCUUUAGUAGUCCAUAAGAUCAAAUAAUAACCAAAAUUCAAAAAAUAUGUUUUAUGAUCCAAAAUUGAUUGACACUAAUAUCAUUUGUUAAAUAAACUUUAUGUGAAAUAAUUAUUUUGGAAAAUCAAUUUGGAUGCAUAAUGCAUAAUAGGUAUAAGAAAUAAAGAAAUGACAAAAUAAUAAUUAUAUUCUUGUCUUAAUCCAUGAUACUGAUAACACUUGUAAUGUGAAUUUGAGUCAUUUUGUGAAUUGUUGGGUCAAGGUCUUCAACUCACCAUUCUCAUUUAGUAGAUGAGUCAAUUGUGUGGUAUAUGUUGUUAUAAGUAAAACAACUAAAAACAUAAGAAUGCAAUGUGACUUAGGACCUUAACUUUAUAAAAAAGAUUUAUAACUCUUAAUAUUCUCAUAAAAGAUUAUAUGAAAGUUAUACUCAUUAUUUAUAAACAUUAUACACAGAUUAAUGGACAAUGGUAAACUACCAACUUGAAUACAUUCAUGUAAUUGUAUAAAUUACACUUUUUCAUCUUCCUCUAUUAGUCAUAAACUUUAUGUACAAAUGAAAUCUCAUAAAGAUGGAGUUACACAAGUUGUAAUACCAUAUUCUUAUAAAUGAAAUUUUUCUAACUCUGUAUUUAUAAUUUUAAUCUUCUAUGUUAGAAGUUGAAUUUGUUCCACGUCGCCAAGUUAUUGGGUUAUUAUGUUGUUCAUAUAUGUAGAUUGGUCACCUCUCCAAGCUAGCUUUUGGGAAUGAAUUCUAUUCAAACCCAUUUAACAUGGUAUCAGAGCUUGGUUUGACUGUGGGUUGUGGGUUCGAGCCACCUCUCUGCAAUUCGCAUGUUUGUUCCUUAUUUGCAUGUUUGGAAGUCUAGAAAAGGUUAUUUGCAUUUGUUUGUCUCUUCACGUGUGGAUAUGGGACCACACAUAAGAGAGGGUGUUAAAAAGCUUGAUAUGUACGUAUAUUGAACCUAAAUCUUAUAAGUUUAAGCUUUUAGGAAAAUUAGUAAUUCAACAUUCUAUACAUAAAAUUAUUUGAUGUCCAAUCAAUUGAUUCACCUACCUAUCAAUUAAUAUACUUUUAAAUAAAAUAUAUUUCAAUCCAUUACACAAAUAUAAUUAAAACAAAAUACUAUAGUAAUGUGAGUAUGUGAUAAAUAAAUAAAAUAAAAAUAAUCACGUGUUACAUGUAAACUAUAUUCAAAGGAAAAACCCACUAUUAAACAAUCCAUUGUAUAAUGAUCAAUUACAAAGACCAAGUAUUACCAAACUUAAAAGUAUCUAAAUCAUACUCACUUUGCACAUUUUCUUUAUACUUGGAUCCUUUAAACACAUUUAUCCCAAUGUGGAUGCAUCUUGAGUUCUAAUCAAGGAAAUCAACCUUUGAGUAAAAUUUUCAUCAAGUUAAAGUCUCUUUAUAUCAUUGAGAACCAUAUCAAGAUUUCUUUUUGUUGGUUGCUUUCAAAGUCCCACUAGAAUUAGAAUGAACAUUUUAUAAAUUCUAGGACUUUAACAUAUGAAUUCUUCAAUGAGUCAAUCAAAUAUUAAAUUUUAUCUCCAUAGAUGGACCUCAAUGAAUUUUUCAACAAAUUAAAGGUGUUAACACUAAUUUCAUAUUAGAAAAAAAAAAAAAAUCAUGUGACACAUAUUGAUAUAUAUAUAUAUAUAUAUAUAUAUAUAUAUAUAGGUGUUGUCUGGGAUAAAUAGAUUGAAUUCAUGAGAAAAUUAUUCUUAAUUUUGUAAAAAUUAUAUAUAUAAGAAAGUUUUUAGACUUACUAAAACACAUUACUAAUCAAGUGGUAAUAUUUAUAUCUCAUUAUUUUGUAAUCAAGUCUCAUUCAUUUGUAUCACAUAUGAGUCCUAUUAUUUUAUACCUUACUCUUAUUAUAUUGUACUUUGAUCUUAUUUGUUUAUACAUCGAUUUCAUUUCUUUAUAUGUUCAUCAUAUUUAUUUAUAUCUCGAUCUUAAUUAUUUAUAUCUUUCAAUAGUUUAGAUUUCAAUACAUAUUUUUAAAUAUUUUAAUUGGAAAUUCAAUAUCUUACUAUUUUUCUAAAUAGCUACCUAUAAUCCUUUGUAGACUCAAAAUUCACUUCAAGCCAUCAAAAAAAUCGACCUCUCUUUGUAAGUUGCUAUACUCAUUGCUAAACUAUAAUUCCAAAAAUAGCAGAACUUUUCAUACUUAUUCUAGGCAAUUAGAGUCGAGAUGUUCCAGGCAUAUACCAUUGUCUUUCAAGAUUUGAAAGAAAUGUUACGAUUUCAGCAUGAAAUAAUGCAUGUCGAUUAACAAUAUUGCUCAGAUUCUUUAGGCAAAGGUCCCAGCCUAGAGAUUGAUAAUGUUUCUUUGAAGCAAAAUGACAAAAUGGAAUAACACAAGAAAGCCAGAACCAAUUAAGUGUCCACAGACAAAAAAAUUUAUUUAUUUAUUUUCUGAACCACCCCUGAAAUUGACACCUCCCAUACAGUCUGCAUUUCUGUGGCACUAUUUCCCUUAUUCCUAACCAUAAAUCUGCUGCCAUCUCAAUAAUUCACAUCCUUAUCCACUCCUUAUCUAGGGUUGUAACACUUUUUUCAAAAAGAUUUUUUUUUUUUUUUUUCUAAGGGGUGGAUAAGGGUCCUGAGACAAGCUGUGGAAUAAUUAUAAACCCACUUGGGUAAUGGUUUCAUUGUCAGGGUAAUACUAUUUAAGGUGAAAAUCAGCUGGGUCUAUCAUUCUUGUUUCCAUAUGACUGUUUCCAAGGAUAACUCAACCUUCAAAUCCAUCGAGCAGUCAUAUAAAAAUACACGCAGAUUUCAUAUUUUGAAGCUUGUCCUGUGUUCAGAUCGGAUAACUCACUCAUAUGCCUAAUCACCAAUCGCCAACUUGAGCGUAAAAAAAGCGUGGGGCGAUAUUAUUUGUAUAUGGGUUUGACUGUUUGAGAGAGAAAGGUGGGGUGUCCCUUGGAGGAGUCCAAAGGCCAUUUUUGAACCUGCCUUUGAUUAUCGCCAUGGCAAAUCAACAGCUUGUAGUGUAUAUAUAUAUAUAUAUAUAUAUUAAUGGAGACCAAGACUCAAAUAGAGAGAGAGACGCGGGAUGCGAUAAAGAGAACAGUAUAGCCAAGAGUAUAUAAGCAUUUCUAUUGCUGUAAUGGUGAUUCAGAGACUGGAAAUGUGUAUAUCACUGCUGAAAAUGGCAGUAGAGUUUGUGCUUGUUUUCGCGGAGGCAGUCGGGCUAGUCAUCAACCACAAUGCCACGCCGCUUUUGGCAAACUCAGCCUCAGUUGGCAAUGAUGUUUCUGUCCCUUUUAUCGGUUUUCUUCUUUGAAUUCUUCGUCUUGUAGUUUCCUUCCUUAGCAGAAUGCCCAUUGGCCAUUGUAUACGUUGAGGUUUCAUUUUUGUCUUGAUAGAUUUUGCCUUGGAAAGUGUCUGUACUACCAGCUAAAAGAUGUGAAUGUUUGAUAGGAGAGAGUACAUAUAACAUCUUUGUAAACUUCGAUUAAUUUUGGUUCUGGGUGAGCUUCAUCUUCUGCAAAUUCAUUUGCUGGUAGCUUUGGAAAUGAAUCUUCAGUGGUUUGGGUGGUGAUUAUUUGCUUGCUUCACACGAUUUUAUGUGUUGUUCCUUUGGUAAUAAUCUUGUUGGAUGGAUCAAGGAGGAGCGAUGAUCAGGAAAAUAAAGUCGGGAGAAAGAAAAGAUAUAAUGAUGAUUAAGAAAGGCUUUAAUAUACUUGCAAGAUCAGGAAAAAAUAUUUCUUGGUUAAUCAAUUAUUUUCUUGCUUGAUAUGGGUUUGAUACUUUUUGUCAAUUGGUGAUCAUUCUGGGAAGAUCAGGAAGAAGAAAAUGGGGUCUAGAUGAAGAAAAGCUAUAAUGGUGAUUAUUAAUUGAAAUCAGAUGAAAUAAAAGUCUGUUUCCAUCAUUCUUAAUAGGGUUUCAUAGUCCCCGCAGGACUUUAGUACUCAUCAAACUCAUAAAUUUUGAACAACUUUGAGCUAACCUUCUGCAUUAAUUUGGUGCAUCUGCGCAGUUGCAGAGUAUGAACACCCACAAAAUCUUAAUAUGAAUCUUUUGGGGCAAUAGCUUCUAUAUAUGAUGGAUGAUAAGAACAAAGCAAAUCUUGGGUUCUCCAUGGCCACGAUCAUUUAUCCGCCAUAUAAAAUGCAGAUUUUCCUAACACCAACCCCUUAUUUUAAUAAAGUCAAGUUAUUUUAAGGCCCCCAUUAUUAGACAUGCCCUAGAAGCAUUGGGUCUGUGAUUAAAAAAAUGUAGUAAUAUCAUUUAAAAUAUCUAACACUGAAAUUUUGAUAAUUUUGAAUGUCAUAGUGUGGAUUUGAAGAAAGAAAUCGUAUCCAAGAUCUCUUCCUUUUCCUGGGAAACAUUAGUCUUGGUCAAUUAUGAACUGUUACACGUUACCUAUCAUGAUCAUAUUUAUAUUAGCUUUGAUUUCUAUGGGGGUUAUAAUUUAUUUGUAUGCUAAUCAUAGAGGUGAUACAUGUGAUCCACAUGUCAUAUUUGGACUUGGAACCAAUCAUUGGAUUCCUUUGAUGAACUGGCAAUGGAAGAAUACUAAUUGCUCCGGUCCCUUUCUUUUUUCAACGUAGGAUGAUCAGGUCCUUUGAUCUCUUCCACACCCACUGGCUGUUUUUCUUUGUUCCUUUUUCAAUCAUCCAUAGCUGAAAAGCCUUGAUGCCCUCCUUGACUUUCCCAAGAUAAAACACCUUAUCUUCACUUUCUUUCUUUUCCCUUUAAAUUUGAUUUUAGAUCUGAAAUCCAGGGCUUAUGACCCUGUAGAAGAAAGACAGAUAUGAAGCUUGGGAUGAUUUGAACUUCAGUUUGAUUUUCUGCACACUGUUUAAAACUCCUGAAAUAUAGUUGUAUAUUGCAAUACAUUUAUAAUUGAUACAACUGAACCAUGAUGUUUCUAUUAGUAAAAAUUUCUUUGAAUCAAUCCACAGUUCAAAGUACCAAUUUCAAUUGAAACUUUUUUCUUUUCCUGCUUAUUCAAUUGUUUCGUUUUCCACAUAAUGGUAUGACAACAUCAAGAAUACUUCUCAGCAAUUGCCUGCAGGUGAACCCAAAGCUCUUUUGGCUGAGACAUCAUGACCAUGUGAUCAGAUCCUUUAAUCUCUUUAACAGCAUCAGGUGGGUUUUCUUCGAUCAUCCAGAGUUGAAAAUCCUUUUUCGCCAGCUUGUCUUCCUCAGAAAUAAUAAAGACACGUUUAACCGAGGCAUAUUUCUUCGACAACAUGAGAUCCUUUGACAUGUCUUCUUCACUGAACAAGCGUAAGGGUCUCAUCAACAUAGUCCCUAGUGCCAAGUCCUGGAAAAUUUGUGCCCAAAAUGAUAUAACAACAACAAUGAAAAGUCUCAUGAUUUUGGCUGUAAGGCCUGAAUUAAUGAAGUUCUCACCUCAGUUGGGCUCAACUGAUACACAUUCAGUGAUGAGAACAAGGGGCCAAAGGUGAAAGUGGUGGGAGGAUUGUUGGGGCCAUUAUCAUAUGUGAACUGGCUGUCUAGUAGAGGACCUUGUCUCCUGAGUGACUUCAAUAAGAAGUAGAAACCAGGCUAAAAGUCAGAAACAGGGGAAGCCUUCCCCUCUUAAUCAACAAGUAAAUUUCUGUAAAAGAAAAAUAGUAUGUAUGAAGUACCUCUUGAUUGAGAGUGGAAAUGUUGAGAGUGGGACCAGGCAUUGAGGCAGUAACAAAAACAGCUACAGAAACCUUUUCUGGGAACUUCUCCAUGGCCUGAGAAAUGGCCAACCCACCCAAGCUGUGUCCAACGAGAACCACCCUUUCAUCUGCAGGGAGUGACUCCAUGAAGUCCCUCAGUGGCUGGAAAUACUCAGAAAUAGAUCGCAGAUCACCCACUUGUUUUGGGUUAAUUCCAGAAGCAGCCAAGUCCAGAGCAGUGACUUUGUGGCCAGAUGAUUUUAGUAGUGCCACAAUCUUGUACCAAGACCAGGCACCAUGGCAAGACCCAUGAACUAGAACAUAGUGCUUGACGGGAUUAGCCUGUCUCCCCUCUGAUGCCAUUGAAUACACUGAAGAAACAAGAAAAAUCAGAAAGGAAACUAAAAUCGUAUGCUUCUUCCUUUCCUGCGUACUCCUUUCCUGUUACAGAGAUGGUCAGCACCCAAGCAUUUUAAAGGGCACAAUUGGCUUUCACUACAACUACUAAUCUAAUGGAUUAAAAUUUUUCCUGUGAAAUUGACUCUAGAAAUAAAAUAAGGAUUAAGGAUUCAAGAAUAUGUACACAUAGACUGCCAGGGUUUAAAAGAUGACACAUGCACCUGCGUCACACUCUUUUUCAAUGAUAAAGAAGUUAUGCAAAGGAAGAAAGAAUGAAAUAUACAGAGUCUAGUAGUUAACUCCUCCCCUUGAAUUCUUCUGUUGCCCGGAUUGGUUUGUAACUGCAAACAUUUUCUUUUCCCAAUGUGAUCUGUGGAUUGAGUUCUGAUCUCAAUUUGUUUUUGGCAUUUUUGGUUUUGCUUCUGCAAAUCUUGAGAUGUAUCUUUCAAUUAAUAUAAGUAAGUUAUGCAGUAAAGGUUUUUGGACAUAUAAAAUGUUAGCCAAACCUUUCCCAUGGCGGGUUGAAGGUACUUUGGGGUAGGCUUGGUCACGCUUGAUACCUCAAUCGGACUGAAACAUGAUGUUUUCACCCAUUUGAAUUGGUCAAAGCUGUGUUGACUGGCAUGAUUCCUUUAAUAAAGAAGUUGUUUUUGGAUUAAGGCCUACAACACCAAUUUCACUUAAAUACAUCUAUUUAAUAAUUAUGUAUUAACAUAAUUAUAAUCAAUUGAGUCGAAAACAAUUAAAUUAAAAAGUUAAUUAUAUUGACUUAAAUAAAAUCUGACUCAACCAGAUUAUUAAAUAAAUUACUCAACUUAUUACAUGUUUAAUAAUUAAGUCGUAUUUGGGUUUAUACUUUUAACUCAAUUAUUAUUCAUGUUAUAUUUGUGUUGACUUAUUAAGUCACAGUAUCUAAAUUUAAUUUGAUAUGACAUGAACACUACCCACCAACAUUAAUUGUAUCCCCUGUUUUAAGUUCCGGUGGCAUCAUGAGUUUGGCCUCUGUUUUGAGUGUUGAAUUAACCUUUCCCAUGGUUGUCAAGUUCUUCAUAAAUUAUUGGUGAUUGUAAUAAUUUCCUCAUAAAUUAAUGGCGCUAUAUGCUUCUUUAGGAUCCAUUGAUCUUACUAAUUCUCUUCCUGGUAUGGGAAGAAAAUGACUCUUCCAUUAAUGCAGCAUGCAUUGCUACUUAUUUAUCAAGCAAAUUACAUUAUUAUUUUCACACCAAACCUCCAAAUUCAUCAUGUACUUAUCCUAUAUACUACAUGGUGAACUUUAGAGAGCUAAAACAAGCUCUUCUUGAUUAAAGAUAGAUAAUGUCCUAUUGACCUUUUUACUUUGAUGCCUUGAAAUGAGAAAUUUGGAUGUUUUCUACAUCAAGCUUCUUGAAAUUAUUGUGCUUUCUCGUAGUAAAGAAUUUUCCCAAGUUGUGUACUUUGGCUUUUCCCCCUUUGUCAUCUCCUCCAAGGGUUGCACCCAAACACGGUGUUCGGGAUUGAAAAAGAACGGAAUCAAAAACCUUUCCCUCUCUGAAUUCACCAUCACCCUAUGCUCCACACUCUCAUAAGUAUCGUUGCUCCAUACCUGAUUUAAUAUCAAGAUAAUUAGACAAAUGGGUGUGUAAAAUUCCUUGAGCCAAACUGUACUGAUAAGCAAGUACUAAAGACGAUACAGGCUUUGAGAGUUAAAGGUCGUUCUUUCUAUAAAUCAAGGCAAUAAGUAUAUAUACAACAUACAACAUAGUUGCUGUUACAGGCUUACCAAAUUAAUUCCACAAUAAAGGAAACUAUACAUGGUUGGUUACCAAAACAAAAAUAGGAGAUUAGCUAUACAUAUUACUAAAAUAUAGGAUUUGAUAAAGAUUGAAGUGGACUUUCAAAUGAACCAUUUUCCUUAUCAUGACCCCUCAAGAUAGACUUCGAUUGAAUGCCUAGCUUGACGCACAAGUGUUGUAGAUGAGCUAAGGAUUGUGGCUUUGUUAAGGCAUCAACAAGUUGAUCCGCGAAAGCAAAAUGAGGCACGCGAAAAGUGUAAUCUUGAACUCACAAAAUGAAAAUAAAUAGCAAUAUGCUUCAUCCAAAAUGUAAAAUUAGGUUGGCGCAUAAGUAGGUGGUACCGACAUUAUCACAAUAGAUUGGCAUGGGUUUGGGAACUGAAAUACCCAACUCAAGUAAUAGGGAGUUAAGCCAAAGAAGUUUGGAAGAAGUUGUAGCUACAACAUGAUACUCUACCUCAGUUGAGGAACGGGCAACAAAUGUUGCUUCUUUGAACUCCAAGAAAUGACAUUAUGACCUAAAAACACAACAUGAGCACUAGUUAAAGUACGAUCAUCACGAUCACCAAUCCAAUCUACAUCGGAGAAGGCAUGAAGGCUAAGAGGGGAUCCUUUUCGAAGAAACAAACAAUGAUGCGUUGUACCUUUAAGAUAACGGAGAAGAUGUUUGAGUGCCAACCAGUGAGUGGUAGUAAGUCUAUGCAUGAAUUGAGAGAGUUUAUUGAUUGAGAAAGCAAUGUUUGGUUGAGUGAAGAAGAGGUACCGAAGACCACCAACAAUAGAUCGAUACUUAGUCGAAUUGGUCAAGGAUGUGCCAUCCACAAGGCUAGGUAUCUGAGAUGUUGACAUAGGAGUUGUGAAUGACUUGGAAUCCAUCAUUUUUGUGUGCUCCAAAAGAUCUAAAACAUAUUUGUGUUGAGAAAGAAAGAGACCAAAUGAGCUUGGAAUAACUUCAACCCCUAAAAAAUAAGAGGCAACACCUAAAUCUUUAAUGGAGAACCGAGUAGCAAGUGUGUGAACAAAAUGAUUGAGAGUACCAUCAUCAUUGCUAGUAACAAUAAUAUCAUCAACAUACACAAGUAGGAAAAUGGUAAAUAGAGACUUCUUAUGGAUGGACAAUGAAGUGUCAAAUUUGGGGUAGAAACUGCUUCACAAACCCUUGAUGGAGUAGAAACUGCUUCAGUUCUUGAUACAAGGCACAUGGUGCUUGUUUGAGGCUAUAAAUAGCUUUCUUAAGAUGACACACAUGGCUUGGAAACUAAGGAUCAACAAACCUUGGUGGUUGAGCCAUAAACACAUUUUUGGCAAAAGUCCCAUGAAGAAAAAGCAUUGUUCACAUCAAGUUGACAAAGUGACCAAUUGAAGGAAAAUGCAAGACUAAGAAUGAGUAGACCAGUAGUAGGUUUCACAACCGGGCUGAAUGUCUUAGCAUAGUCAAUACCAGGGAGUUGAUGAAAACCCUUGGCGACAAGAGGAGCCUUGUAUUGAGCAAUAGAGCCAUCAGGAUUGCGUUUGAUUCGGAAAAUCCAUUUGCAACCAACUAGAUUCUGUGACUUAGUAGAAGGAUUCAACUCCCAUGUGCCAUUAUGAAGAAGAGCAUCAAAUUCUUCAAACAUAGCUUAACACCACUCAAGAAGCUUUAAAGUUUGGGUAACAUAGGCAGGUGCAACAUCAGGAGUGGUAGAGACAAAAGCAUACUUGGUGGAUGGUUUGAAGACAUUAUUCUUGGAUCUUGUAACCAUGGGAUGGGUGUUGAGGGUAGGGGGUCGAGUGGGUGGGAUGGGGGAAGGGGUAGGAUGUGGGGUUGAAAGCAAGAUUGGGCUUGGAGGGAAACUAUGUUGGGAUUGUGUAGUCUCAGCAUUGGGGGGUAAUAUAAUUGACUGGCCAGCAAGAGUGGUAUCAUGAAUGGUCGAAUGCUUAACUGGAGUGGUACCUAAGAUUGUAUUGUCCUGUGAUGAGGGAAUUGAUACGAGAGGGAAUGGAAUAGAUGGGACUAUGGUGGGUGGAGGUUUCUCGGCAGUUGAAGAAAAGAGGACCAUUAUCUCAACAAAGGUGACAUGAUGAGAGGUGAAUAACUUGUGGGAAACUCGAUCAAGGCAAAGGUAUGCACUUUGUGUAAGAGAGUAACCUAAGAAGACACAUGGACGAGAUUUGGAUUGAAGUUUGUGGUCAUUAUAUGGGAGUAACUAAGGAUAACAAAGACAACCAAACAUUCAUAAUUUGUCAAGAAUUAGGUUUGUGAUUGAAUAAUUUCUCAUAGGAAGAGAGGAAUGAGAGGUUUGGUUUAAGCAUUCGAUUAAUAAGAUAGACUAUAGCUUAAAAGGCAAAGGGCCAAAAAGAAGUAGGAAUGGAUGCAUGAUGGAAAAGGAUGAGUCUGGUUUUGACAAUGUGUCUAUGAUGACGUUUGGAGUAACCAUUAUGCUUAGGAGUAUGAGGUGGGGUGGUGAGAUGAGUAAUGCUAGCAAGAGCAAAAUAAUCUUUUAACGCUAGAAAUUCACCACUAUUGUCAUAAUAGAUUUGAAUUAUUUUGGAACUGAAGUAGUUUUCAACUAGAGCUUUAAAUCGAACAAAAACAUCAUAGACAUUAGAUUUCUUUUGAAGUGGAUAUAACCAGACAUAUUUGGUGAAGUGAUCGACAAAGAUAACAUAGUAUUUAAAGUUAUCAUUUGAUACAAUGGGAGAACUCCAAACAUUUGAGUAAAUAGUUUGUAAAUGAGAUGAACUUGUAAUAGAUGAUGUAGAGAAAGGUAGUUUAUGACUUUUAUUGCACUUACAAGAAUUACAAGCAAAAGUAGAAAUAUCAUUAGAUGAUAAAGAAUGACUCUUAGAGGAAACUAAAUAUUGAAGAACUUUGGAAGAGGGAUGACCAAGUCGAUGAUGCCAAUUUGGAAGUGAAGUCUUAACAUUGGAAAAUACAAUCAAAGGUUUUUUCGUAGUAGGAGAAUUCAACCAUACAUAAAAACCACCACUAUAGAAUAUAGAAUAUAAUUUUAUAUUUAAUUAAUUUUGCAUUUAAAUAAUAUAUGAUAAAGAUAUUACUUUUAUAUUUAAAUAAUAUAAGAUGGUAAUGAGAUAAAAAUGAAUGUUUUUAUGGUUAUAGGAAUAAAGAAAAAUAAAAUAAAAAAGAUUUCAAUUACUUAAUUAAUAGUAAUCCUAAUUUAAUUUCAAUUAAUAUUAAUCUUAUUUAUAUCUUUCCUUUCUUGAAUAUACCAUAAAAAGAUUUAAGUAGUAAAUAAAUACAUGGGUAGAAGGAUACAUCCAGUCAUGAGGUGUACCUAUAUAUUAAUUUUAUAUUUAAAUAUUAUAGAAUAUAAUUUUAUAUUUAAUUAAUUUUGCAUUUAAAUAAUAUAUGAUAAAGAUAUUAGUUUUAUAUUUAAAUAAUAUAAGAUGGUAAUAAGAUAAAAAUGAAUGUUUUAUGGUUAUAGGAAUAAAGAAAAAUAAAAUAAAAAAGAUUUCAAUUACUAAAUCAAUAGUAAUCCUAAUUUAAUUCCAAUUAAUAUUAAUAUUAUUUAUAUCUUUCCUUUCUUGAAUAUACCAUAAAAAGAUUUAAGUAGUAAUCUGGGAUAGAUAUUAAUUUUAUAUUUAAGAAAUAUAGGAUAUAAUGUAGAGAAUAGAGAUACACAAACAUAUUUUAUAUUUAAGUAGUAAUCUUCAUGAGCUUUACACAAACAAAAAACUUAGAUGUUUACAUCAUCUAGAAGCCCCACUUCGCCUCUCUCUCAGCCCUCAGCCCUCAGGCUUAAGAAGUUGUCAUGAGAAACCUAACACAAACCUUUCUUAUAAUUAUUGUUCAUAGUCGUAGCUACCAAGAAUUCCAAGUUAGGAAGAAAAAAAGAAUCAUAAAUACAGCAAAAAUAACUUCCACUACAUGCGGCAGCAGGGGUACCAAAUUAGGGAAAUUAAGAAGUAAACCAUGCCCAAUCAAUUGCUGGGAAAUAUUAUUUGGAUAUCAAAUUAGGGAAGCUAUUAAGUGUGGUUUUUGUAGUGUUAAAUCAGAGAGAAAUUUAAUUAUAUUAUGAAUUUCAAAUUUAAUUAUUCUAAGAACAAUGAAUUACUCUAAUAGAAUUUAAUGUAUAAAAACAUUUCAAACACUCGCAACAUAUAUCAUUUUCAUUUUUUCCAAAAGCACCAAAACCCUAUAACAAUGAAAAUAAACCCAAUAACAAUGGAAAUAAACCAAAUAACAAUGGAAUCUCAAACCUAAUCACAAACAUUUCCAAAAUACCAACUAACAAAACCCAAAAAAAAAAAAAAAUUCCCAAAACUCACCAAAACCUAGAGAGAUGAUUUUCACGGGAGUUUCUUGGAGGUGGCUUCAGCUUUACCGACCAUAGCUUCCAUGGGGCUUCUUCAGCAUGGCUUCCAUAAGCUUUUUUUGACAAUAGCUUCCUCCAAGCAAUGGGGGUUGUGGGUAGGUUUUGUGGGUUUUAUGGCCGUGGGUUUUGGAGAGGAAGAGAAAAUGGGUUGGCAGGAGAGAGAAAGAAAGGCUUUAUAUUCGAUUAGGAAAGUGAUGUGGCCGUGGGGUAUACCCACAUGGUUAAAAGAAAGACAUUUUUCCAUUAGAAAAAAAUGUCUCAUGGCUUUUUUUAUUGUUAUUGUUAUACCCAAAAAAAAUAAUUUAAUUUUAUUGUUAUACCCUAAAAUUUUUUUAUUGUUAUUGUUAUUGUUCUGUGUUCAGAACUAUUAAUUUAAAAAGUUUUUCAAGUUUUAAAAUUAUCAAAUUUUUAAAAUUUACAAUUAUUUUAAAAUUUUAAAUUUACAAUUAUUUUUAAAAUUUUAAAUUUAAAUUAAUUUUGAAAGUUCAAUGUUUUACUCAAAGUGUUAUUCUAAAAUUUUUAUUAAGUUUUAUCAAGUUUUUUAAGUUUUAAAAUUAUCAAGUUUAAAAUUUAAAAAUUUUAUAUAAAUACAAAGAAUAAUUAAAAAUAAAAUAUAACAUAUAAAUGUUAUUUUUUAAAACAUAUUUAAAAACAUAAAAAAUAUAUAUUAAGAAUAUUUUAGGUUUCUAAAUCAACUUUUAUUUUAAAAUACAUCGGCAAAAAAAUUUUUAAAAAUGUUUUAAAAAACCGUUUUUUGUAUAAUUGUUUAUGAAAAUGUCAAAAUACUUCACAAAUAAACCAGUUCGAGUCCCCUCAGGGCCUCGUGGGAUUAGUCGAGAUGUGCUUAAGCUGGUCCGGACAUCCACGGUUAUAAAUAAAAAAUAAAAAUAAAAAAAUAAAAAAUACUUCACAAAUAAAACUAUAAUUUAUUGGUAUUUUUGUGGGCCUUAGGUGUUAGGAAAUGUUAUAUGUGCAUCCUACUCCUACUCUGUCUUCAUUAUUUUCAGUCCCUUUAUAUCUUAUACCAAUCUACUAUUAUUUUAUCAUAUGGUAUCAGUUUUUCAUAUUUGAUGAUAUUAAUUUCUACCUUAUCCCAUAUGCUUGUAGCUUAAUUUCAUUAUACAUUUGGACAACAGAAUUUCAGACUUCCAUUUGGUACUAAAUAUAAUAAACAUAAACAGAGAAUGAUGCAUUUAAGAAUAUUUUUCCAUGAAUUUUAACUUUAUAAAUUUGUUAAUUUUACAAAUUUAAGAAUUAUAAAAGUUUAGAACUUUUAUUUUUAAUCAUAAACAGAGGAUGUUAUUUUUGUAGUUAUAAAUUGUUUUUGUAUUGCAAAAAUCAUAAAGAUUAAAUAAUAUUUUAUGAUUGAAAAUUAAAUAAAACUAUAAACAAUUUUACUAGUAAUUGUUCAUAGUAAAAUUUAGUUAUCAUGACUAUUGAUACUUUAAAUAUAAUAAGAAUUAUUUAUCAUAUAUAAAAUCAAAAUUGUUUUUUAAUUUGCUAACUCACUUGCAUUUAAACUUUUUAUCAAAUAAUAUCAAAUUGAACCAUCAUAUUUUUAAACUAAUUUAUUAAACUUUAUUUUGCUUCUUAUUAAAACAUUAAUUAUAACAAGGAAAUUAAAUAAUUUUAACUAAAGAAAAAUAGGUAACACACUAAUUUGUUUCUUAACUUAAAAAAAAAUAGUAAUAUAACUUUAAACUUUUUAUAAUUAAUAAGAACUAUUAUUAUUACUAUUAAUGAUAAUUUCUAUUUAUGAUAUAUAUAUAUAUAUAUAUAUAAGAUUUUCUAAAAAAUUAUAAUAGGUAACCCAAAAAUUGUUUAAAAUAAAUAAUAGACUUUGGUCACGAUUGUGUGAACCCCGUGGCCAUAGGUUCAAAAUAUUUAAAAAAAACUCUAUGCAUUGGUAAUGGUCAAGCGAAAUUUGUAACUACAGGUUCUUAUACAGUCACGGUCAAUCAAUGGCGUGACUAAAAGUCACGGUCAAUCAAUCACGUCACUCAAAGUCACAAAAUAUCUAUUUAGUGACGGUUUCACAAAAACCUGUGACUAAAACAUCUUUUUCAUUACACUUUUUGUCACGGAUGAUAAAAUAACCGUGACUAAAGUUAUUGGCGCCAAAAUUUCCCUCCAUAAAUUUACAAAUAGUCACAGUUUUAAAUAAAUCCGUGACUAAAAUACCUCUUAUUAAUCCUUUUGGUGACGGUUGAUAAAAUCACCGUGACUAAACAUGUUUUUUUUUUUUUCCAAAUUUGAUUUAACACAUAUAGUCACAACCUUACCCAAUAAUAUCUUUGGUGGGCCGUGACUAAAGAUUCGUCAUUAAAAAUCUAUUUUUUUGUAGUGCUAGUUGGUCCAUGCAAAAUUCUUGCCCCCGUACAUAGACCAUUCACAUAAAAACAAGUGGGUAAGAAUUCAAUGAAAACAUUAUUUGUUAAGCAAAAUUGGGAAAUUGAAAUCAAGUUCUUUUUCAUGGUGAGAACACAAGGGAUAUUAUUAAGUUGAAGUAGCUUUAAUGCAGUUGGGAGGGUGGUGGAUCCUGUGUGUGUGAUUUCUAGACCUUUACCAUCACCAAUAAUUAUGUCGUCUGGGCCAGCAUAGUCGGAAUGCAAAGAUAGAUUCUGAAGAUCAUUAGAUAUGUGGUGUGAGGCACCAAAAUCCAAGACCCAAUUUGGAGAGACAACAGUUGGUUGAGUUGUCGCAUGUGUUUGUGCAGAAGAGGGGCGGUAACUGUAAUUGGGUGGAACACCAUGAUGUUGACUGGCAAUAUAUCGAAAUGAUGGACAUCUUUUCGCUGAGUGUCCUUGAACACCACACAAUUGACAAGUCCCCUUAUAUGGAUGAGGGGUGUGAUUCGAAGUAUUCGAGGUAGUCAUUGGUUGAGGUUGUUUGGAUGUACGGUAUUGAGACGAAGAGUAAGGCUGUUGAUUGAAGAAUCGAUGCGAUUGUGGUUGUUUGGUAGCAGCAUUGGUGGAAGCAGGCAAUGAGACAUUCCAAGAAGAAUACUUGGCAGAUUCUCAUAAAGUUUGAGCCUCAAGAGGAAGCAAUUUCUCAUAAAGUUCCUCAAAGGAAAAACAGUUUCAUGGGCAUGGAUGGUUGAGUGUAAAUCUUUGUACAUCUCAGGCAAACCAUGAAAUAUUUGAAUAAUGAAGUCCUCAGGGUCUAUGGUGACGUUCAUGAGAUAGAGAACAUCAACGCAAAUUUUAACAAAUUGCAUAUACUGUGUUAUGGACUGAGUGCCUUUGGACAAGUUGUCGAGUUGAGUCCGAUAAUGAAUUAUUCGGCUUCGAGAUGCUUUAGCAUAGGUGUUGUGAAGUGUAGACCAAGCCUCAAGGGAGGUUGUGGCUGAUGCAAUGAAUGAGAAAAUUGUUGGACUAAGUGAUGAAACAAUAGCAUUAAGAAGAUGGUCUUGACGAAUCCAAUGGGUGUAAGCUGGGUUUGGGGUUGUAGUACCCUUUUCAGAAGUAAGAGUGCUAGAAGGACAUGGUAAAGUGCCAUUGACAUAUCCCAGUAAAUCAUAACCGACUAGGAGAGUGUAAAAUUGGAGUCUCCAUGCAGAAAAAUUGUGUUGAGUGAGUUUGAUGGGGGUUUGGGAAGAGGCGUUUAUGGCUAUGAGGUUUUGAGUAGUGUAUAUAGAGAUGUUGGCAGCAGUGUCGAUGGAGGAAACAAUUGAGGGGGAAGGGCUAGAGCCUUCGUUGGUUUAUGGGUUUGGUGAGGCAUGAGAAUCAACUAUGUGAGCUAUGGUUGCUCUGAUACCAUAAAGACGAUACAGGCUUUGAGAGUUAAAGAUUGUUCUUUCUAUAGAUCAAGGCAAGAAGUAUAUAUAUAGUAUACAACCUAGCGUUACAGACUUACCAAAUUAACUCCACAAUAAAGGGAACUAUACAUGGUUGGUUACCAAAACAAAUAUAGGAGAUUAGCUGUACAUAUUACUGAAAUAUAGAGACGAUCACGGAGGAUUUGAUAGAGAUUGAAGUUGACUUUCAAACGAACCAUUUUCCUUAUCAGGUACUAAUUCAAAGUUCUUGGGUGGUACUUGAAUUAUAUCCCCAACAUUGAUGAUAUAUGCAUCUAGGGUGGGCUUAACUCGAAUCCAUUCUCCAUCAGUUUUUUGCUUUACUUCCAACCCUCUGACAUCAUCCUGGGCAAGGAUGGUUAAGGCUUCGGCAUCCUUUUGGCAACGAACACCCAGAGCUAGGUGAGGGAUGGGGCAUGGUGGGUAGUGAUUGAGGCGGAUGAAGGUAGUUGAUUCUUCAAAGAAAAGAUUGAAUCUGUUUUCCGGCAAACCUAAGCUCAGAGAGAUGAGUCCCAACAUCUUGAAAGCUAGUUUUUCCAUUUCUCUAGCAUAUUCUUCACAUACCUCCCUGUAUAAAUUGGUUCAAUUAGAACCAAAAAACCAAGUAAAUCAUUGAAGUGACUCUGCCUUAGCUGGUGGAAUUUGUACCUUAAUUCAGGAGAGUACUGAGGCCACUGAUUGAUCAACUCUUUGAGCUCCUUGUCGUCAGGAUCAGGCGAAGCAGGGAUGAAGGCGGGGGAUGACACCACGAAAUCAAAGACUUCCUUCCAGUCCCUAACGUUCUUGGUAUGCUCAGUAUCAAAAUACCACAAAGGAUUCACCCCAUCUCUACUCACCUUCCUCUUCUCCUACAAUGGCAGAGCGAAGAACUUCCUCGCCGCAUCCUCAAUUUUCCGGCGAGACUCCGAGGGCAUCCCAUGGUUGAUGACUUGAAAGAAGCCUCGAUUCUUGGAUGCAUCAGCUAUUUGAGAAACAUGGUUAGAGGCAUUGGCGGAAGAGAGAUCAAUGAGUGGGAUGCCUUCAGCUUCGAUAACAACGAGCUUAGGCCCAUGUUGGGUGUCUUGGAUGAAGGCUGGAUCGACCUCUCCCAUGGCUGUGGUAGUGAUUAGAACCUAGAAAUGGUGGUUAUGCACUGGUAGCUGCAGGUUGAGAUUGUGAAGGGGACUUGGGCCACUUGGCAGGUGAUUUUUGUAGUGUAGUGGGGUUGGUUUGGUUCAUUGAACCUUGACAUAAUGACAUAAAUGGGAUACGUUUUAUAAGUUCAAGGAAUCAUGGUAUUUGGAAAAUAUGAAUGAGUUGAAAAUUUUAAAAAAUAGGUUUAUAGGAGUAUAUUUUAAGGAAAAUAAUUUUCAAAUCAUAUCAUGUAUAGGAUAGUGACUUUGUACAUGUUUGAGGGGAAUCAUGUCAAAGUGCACUAUUUGAAAAACAUGGCUAAAUUGUAAACUUAAAAAAGUGGUUUCAUGGAGAGUACAUUAUGAGAAAAAUAAUUUCCAAAUCAUGUACUAAAAUAAUAACUGUAUCCAUGCUUCCAAAACUACUAUUCAACAUAUUUUCAUCAUGUCACAUUUUCCUAUGACGUCAUUGCCCUCAUUUCUUAGAAGAAAAACCCUUUCUGUUCUACUUUACUUUACACUGUUUGUUCCUAUAACCCUUUCCUUUUUUUAAUUUUAAUUUUUUUAAAAAAAUAUUUCUCAUCUAUUUUCUCGAUUUUUAAAAUUCUAUUUAAUUAAAAAAAUUAGAAUUUUUUUUAAAGUACAAUUCAUUUAUUUAUUUUUUCAUUUUAUUUAAAUGUGAUGUAUAAUUAAUACAUUAACAUAAAUUAGUUUUUAAUAUAAAAAUAUAUUCAUCUAUAAUAAUUAAAAAUCUAAUAAAUAAAUAAAUAAAUAAAUAUUAGUAUUUUAAAUAAUAUUGAUUUCGUAUAUACAAUAUUUUAUUUUGUUUCAUUAUUAUAGAUCUCAUUUUCUAUAUUUUUUAUUUCUAAUUUUUCUUAUAGAAUUUUAAACCUAGAUUUUUUAAAAAUGAAAUUUAAAAAAACACUAGAAAUUAAAGUUUUUGUUUUCUUCAAAAUAAAAACAAAAAAAAAAUAAUAUACAAAAAAAAAAUAUUAGUUUACCUUUAAUUUCAUUCAACAAAAAAUUAGUAAUGAUAAUUUUUUAAGAGUAUUUAAUUUUAAAAGUAAUAUUUGAAGAUAGGUAAAAUAAAAAUUUUAAAAGUGUUUGUAUUAAAAUUUUGAAUAUAAAUUCACAACUCCCAUCAUAAUACAUUGAUAUUUAAAAUAAAAAAAACCCCUAAUGAUUUUUUUUUAUUAUAUUAAACAUGUAAAAAAAGUACAUUUUUGUUUAAUUAAAAAUUUAAACCAUUAAAAUUGUUUUUUUCUUUAAUAAAUAAUGUUUUUAAAGAGUACAUUAUACCUAUUUUUUUGGGCAUGUUAUUUAAUAAUUGCUACCAAAGUCAUAACAAUGACAAUAAAAAACUAAAUAUAAUAGUGCAUAUUUGCUAUCUAUAGUGGUACUUUUAGUUACUAACAUUAUUAUUUUUAAGUAAAAAUAAUGUUAUUAUUUCCUGACAUAUUUGAUGUAGAGGUUGAAGUGAUGACAGUGCUAAAUAAGUUAGUACAUCCUAUUAUCUACAGUGAUAUUUUUAGUUACUAUUAUUAUUAUUUUUAGGUAAAGACAAUGUUACUAUCUCUAGUGAUACAUUUGAUGUAUGGAUUGGAGUGGUGAUAGAUGAUGUAACAACUGUGUAUAUGGGGUCAAUCAAGUGUAAUUGUCCUCUUAUUUGUAUAGAUCGCAACCCACCUCCGACAGUGGUUGAAAAGUAGUCUUGGAAGCAUAUCACCAAAGGGACAUUUUGAAUAAUAAUUUGGGAAAAAGCGUUCAUCAGACAUAGCCUAAAAAGUAUAUCCCAACAUUGCUGUUUAUUUAUCAAGCAAAUUACAUUAUUAUUGUCACACCAAACCUCCAAAUUCAACAUGUACUUAGCCUAUAUACUGGAUGGUGAACGGGCUAAAACAAGCUCUUACUGAUUACAGAUAGAUACUGUCCUACUGACACUUUUACUCUGAUACCUUGAAAUGAGAAAUUUGGAGGUUUUCCACAUCAAGCUUCUUGAAAUUGCUGCGCCUUCUCGCAGAAAAGAACUUUCCCCAGUUGUAUGCUCUGUAAUUUUGCUUUUCCCCCUUCGUCAGCUCCUCCAAGGGCUUCACCCAAACAUGCUGCCCGGGAUUGAAAGAGAACGGAAUCGAAAACCUUUCCCUCUCUGAAUUCACAGUCACCCUGUGCUCCACACUUUCAUAAGUAUCAUUGCUCCAGGCCUGGUUUAAUAUCAGUAUAAUUAGCCAAAUGGGUGUAACUGAGCCAAACAGUACUGAUAAGCAUGUACUUAUAAUUCGAAGUUCUUGGGUGGUACCUGAAUUAUAUCCCCAACAUUGAUGAUAUAAGCAUCUGGGGUGGGCUUAACUCGAAUCCAUUCUCCAUCGGUUUUUCGCUUUACUUCCAACCCUCCGACAUCAUCCUGAGCAAGGAUGGUUAAGGCUCCGCCAUCCUUGUGGCGACCAACGCCCAGAGCUAGGUGAGGGAUGGGGCAAGGUGGGUAGUGUUUGAGGCGGAUGAAGUUCGUUGAUUCUUCAAAGAAAAGAUUGAAUCUGUUUUCCGGCAAACCUAAACUCAACGAGAUGAGUCCCAAUAGCUUGAAAGCUAAUUUUUCCAUUUCUCUAGCAUACUCUUCACAUACCUCCCUAUAUAAAUCAGUUCAAUUAGAACAAAAAAGAUAAGUAAUUCACUGUAGUUAUUGUGCCUUAGCUGGUGAAAUUUGUACCUUAAUUCAGGAGGGUACUGAGGCCACUGAUUGGUCAGCUCUUUGAGCUCCUUGUCGUCAGGAUCAGGCGAAACAGGGAUCACGGUGGGGGUUGACACCACGAAAUCAAAGACUUCCUUCCAGUCCCUAACGUUCUUGGUAAGCUCCGAAUCAAAAUACCCCAAAGGAUUCACCUCAUCUCUACUCACCUUCCUCUUCUCCUCCAAUGGCAGAGCGAAGAAUUUCCUCGCCGCACCCUCAAUUUUCCGGCGAGACUCCGAGGGCACCCCAUGGUUGAUGACUUGAAAGAAGCCCCAAUUCUUGGAUGCGUCAGCUAUUUGAGAAACAUGGUUGGAAGCAUUGGCGGAAGAGAGAUCAAUGAGGGGGAUGCCUUCAGCUUCGAUAACAGCGAGCUUAGGCCUAUGUUGGGUGUCUUGGAUGAAGGCUGGAUCGACCUCUCCCAUGGCUGUGGUAGUGGUUGGAAGUUAGAAAUGGGGGUUAAGCACUGGUGGCAGCAGGUGUAGAUGGUGACGGGAAAUUGGGCCACACGGCAGGUGGUUUUUGUAGUGUGGUGGGGUUGGUUUAGUACAUUGAACCUGGGCAUAAUUUGGGUUACUUUUUAAGGUUUGGUUGAGGGUGUGACCUCAUGGAUUGCGCAUAUAUUAAUGAUAAUUGGUCAAGUGAUACUGCAGUCCCAAAGGGAAUCUCUCUCAAUGAUUUUGCCGACAGCUCCCUCCACAUUAAAAUGUUUCAUCCGUAUUUGAAUUGGAGUCUAAUGCUCUGAUCAAAGAUACCUUUCGCUUAGUCGAUCAGUGUUUGAUUACUAAAUAAGAUGGUGUCACAAAUAUUUUUGAAUUCUAGGUCAAAGUUAACGAGUGCAAAGGUUAUCAAUUUGAUAAGAUAAAUUGUUUAGAAACACUUUUAAAAAUGAUUCUUGAAAAAAUAUUUUUUUAAGUUUAAAAACCAUUUUUAAAUUUAGAAUAAAGGUUUAUUUAAAAACUUAUAUUAUUAUAAACUUAUUUUUUAUAUUUUUAAAAAAUAAUUUUUAUAUAUAAUAUUUUAUUUUCAAUCAUUUUUUACAUUUUUUUUAAAAAGGUAAAACUACUAAAAAAAAUACUUAAAAUAAGUUAUCAACAAAUGUCUUAUUGUCAUGACAAUUUUCAAAAACAUGUUUUAGAAACAAUUGAAAAUCAAAGUAUUUUCAUAUUCCUUUAUUCCCAAAAACAAAAAAUUAUUCUUGGUAACGGUUCCAAAUGUAUCCUUCAUUUGUUUAUCUUAUUAUAUAAGUUUUAAAAUAAAAUACAAAAAAUAAUUUUCAAUGAUAAUUUGUUACGGUUUUAUCCAAAAUUUUUAUAUUUUUAAUCAAUUAAUUUAUUGAUACGUAUAUUUCUCAUGAGACCUUUUUCUCACUAAAAACAUUACUUUUUUAUAAGACAUUUUUAAUAAAUUAAUUUUGAUACGUAGAUUAAAAAUGUCUUAUAACAAUAUAAAUUAAUUAAAUCAUUAGUUGGCCAUUUGGUCUCAUGCUUACACAACGACUUCUCUCAUGGCUGCCUAACAUGAAUGAACAACUCUCUACAACAAGUAAGGUACACUUAAUUAAAAAAUUAUUUAAUUUAAAGAUGUUCGAGAAUGAGAAUUUCAAGUAGCACUUGAAUGAAUUUAAUGAGACCACAAAUUAAUUAAAUUCGAUGGUUAUUAAAUUUGAUGAUAAGAUUCAAGCCUUAUUAAUCCUCGGUUAAUUGCUUGAGAGUUGGAAAGACACAAUCACCUCAAUCAAUAGUUCAUCCAAAAAAUCAAAAUUGGUGUUUUCGAAUGUAGUAGACAUGAUUAUAACCGAGGAGAUCAAGAAGCAUGAAGAAGGUUUUUCAAAUUCAUGAUCAACAUUAAAUAUGGAGAGCAAAGCUAGAAAUCAUAAUAAAGGUAAUAGGCGUGAUAAAUCCAAAUCGAGGAAUGAUAGGUUGAAAUACAAAAAUUCCAUAAAUUCCUAACAUCAGACGAGUAAGAACAAUAUCAAAUGUUGGAAUUGUGAUUGGAGCUAAAAUAUGUGCUCAAAUGACAUAUAUUUGAUAUGAUUUAUAUAUCAUAAGACACUCAAAUCAUCUGACUCUACCCAAAUUGAUACUAAGGUCCUAGCCAUGAGUUUAACUUGUAUUUUGGAGAUUUAUCUCAGGUUUAAGAAAAGAAAAUGGUGUAAGGUGAAUCAAUUUAGAUUUUGAAAGAAUAAGAAGGGGUUAAAUGAGAAAAUGAACAAGUCAAGACUCAUGAAAUAUGAAGAAAGGAAAGACGAGGAUAUCGUGAGUUUGGGAGAUGAGGAAUGACCAUUAUCAUGAAGUAAGAAAUAAGGCAUACAAACAUAGAAAAUGAGGCAUGAAACAAAAUUCAUCAAGUUUGCAUGGAAAUUUGGGACUCAAAAUCUGGUAAUAACAUAUACUCUGACUUUAAAAUGAAAUUUGGAGCAUUUCCCAAAGUCCAUUUUAGGCAAGCUAUAUAUUGUUUUGAAGCAUGGGAAGUUAGGAAUUCAAAGCUUCAAACAAUGUCCAAAUUAGAGCUAAAUAAGGAAGUUAUGCACAUUUAAAGCAAACUAGUUAGAGAGAAAAACUGAGUUCGAAAUUGGUCACUUGGAUUUGAAAUGGUUUUUGUCCAUUUAAAACUCAAAGAAAUGAAAGAAAACUUUUGGCAUUGGCUAAGUUUGAAUCUCUUUACCUAUUUCAAACAAGAGGCAUACAUUUCAAAGUCAAAUGAACAUACAUGGGCAGUGAGUGAGUUCAAAAUUCACUAUGAAUUUUGAACUCACCUUGUUGAUUUCAAAUUGGACCAUUUAUUUCCCACUUAUGAGUUCAAAAUUGAUUUGAACUCACCCAAAUUUCGAACUCAACCAUUAGUGACCGAUUUUAGGCUCUGAGACAUGUCAAAACGAGUUUCAAAUGCCUUUAUCCAAUUCAAAACGCAUCAUACUCAUUUAGAACUCGUAAUUUUUGGGGUUUUUUUUAAAGGUUAUUUAUGACUUUUCGUUACAAUAAGUGGCCAAUGAGAGUGUACCACAUGUUAGGUCAUUGAAGUUACUAUAAAAACUCUUUUAGUUAUAGUGUUUAGGUGAUCUUCCAAGAGUUAGACAUUUCGUGGGGAAGAAUACGAGAACUUUUGGUUUAUUUAUUUUCUUCUUUAUUGAAUGUAUUGUUUUUAGUUUCCUUUAUUUCAAAUUAUGAAUUUUUACUUUAUUAUGGAUUGUGAAUGUGACAUUACCCCCAUGAGAGGAUAAAAAGCUAACUUGGGGCUUAAACAUAAAAACUAACGGUUAGAAAACUUAUAGGGACAUUAGGUAAAUUAUUAUAACAAUAAGAUUAAUUAAUGGUUGAGUUACAAUUUAUUAAUUUUUUAUCCUAUCAUUGUGAGUUAGUUUAGAGAAUAAUAUAGUAGGUGAUUAUUCGAUACUAGUGAUUCUUGGUAACUCUUGAUCAUUAGUAAUCCUGAUUUUUCUUAUAGUUAUCUGCCCCAAAACGAAGUUAGAAGGAGUAGGAAAUGUUAAAAAGCCAAACCUUAAAUUGAUAAUAAUUUCAUUCAUUUGAUGUGUUGACAAAUCAGAGGGUUGGCUGCAUCCAUCAACUCUCUUUGUGUUCGCCGUGAGCACUUGGGUGAAUGCACUAUAAGGUUAGAGUAUGCACAUUUCUUAACAGCAAUUGCUUUUAGGAGAAUUGGUAGUGCCUGAGGUCCUACAUGAUAGUUUUAAGAACUUGUUUUAAAAAGAAAAAUUAAGUUUUAGAUGUACUUUUGAGUUAUAGGGCUCAAGUUGAUUGCAAGCGGCCAAGAAUCCCAAAACCCUAAGAUCACUCUAGUUAAGAAACCUUUGUUAUCUCUAUUUCUAUACCUUAAGUUAUAUUGUGGAAAACCUCAAACUUAAAUCAAUUAAAUUAAAAAUCAAUAUUCGUUUUGUUAUUAAUUUAGUUUUUUUUUUUUUUUACUUAGUUUCACUUCAUAAAAGUUAAUUCACAUAUUGUUUUUCGCUUUAGGAUUUAAAUAAAAACAAUUCAUUUAUCCUAGUAUUGAAAAAUUCCAUAUGUUAGUCCCUAAGGAUGAUACCCAAAGAAUUACAAAAACCAUAGUGACUAUUUCUCUAGUUUUUUCUUAACCAAAGUUACUAUGUAAAAAGGCUUAGUAUUUUACAUAAGAGAGAAGAUUGAUCAAAUUGUGGAAAGAAGAGACAUUAUAAAAAUGAGUGUAAGGCUGCCAAGAAGGAUAAGGAUGGUGACAACAAGACCAAUGCAAAUGUUGUGUCAAAAGAAUUAGAUGAUGCUCUUAUCUGCUAUUUAGAGAGAACAACAUAAUCGUGGGUAUUAGAUUCAGGGGCAUCGUUCCAUGCUACCUCAAGUGGAGAAUUAUUUGAGAAUUAUGUCUCAGGUAAUCUAGGGAAGAAGUAUCUAGGUGAUGACCAAGCAUGUGUUGUUAUUGGCAUAAGUGAAGUGCAUAUCAAAUAUUUGAAUGGAUUUGUAUGGAAUUUGGACAAUGUGAGGCACAUUUCAAACCUGAGAGAUAAUUUUAUUUCCAUUGGGUAGUUAACAAAAGAUAGUUAUGUGACAACUUUUUUAGGUGACACAUGGAAUAUCUCAAAGGGAGCUAUUUGCCAUGGCAAGAAGAAUGAUACUCUUUACAUGACAAUGAAUGGUUGUGGGUUUAUUACAAUUGUUGAGAGCAAAGAAGAUUCGAAUUUAUGGCAUUAAAGGCUUGGUCACAUGAGCAAUGAGGGGUUGGAAAUUAUACACUCAAAUGGGAAGUUGUCAAGUUUGAAAUAAGUUGACAUUGACAUGUGUGAAAAUUGCAUACUUGGGAAACAAAGAAGGGUUAGCUUUAAGAAAGUUGGAAAAACUCCAAAAGAAGUAAAACUGAAGUUAGUUUAUACAAAUGUUUGGGGACUUGCUUCAAUUUCAUCUAUCGGUAGAAGAUUUUUUUUUGUGACCUUCAUUGAUGAUCAUUUGAGGAAAGUGUGGGUAUACUUUAUGAUACACAAAUGAGAAGUGUUUGAUGUAUUCAAGAGACGGAAAACAAUGGUGGAGAAUAAGACAUGUAUGAGAGUCAAGAAGUUACGGUUUGAUAAUGGUAGGGAGGAUGAAGAAUUUGAGUUCAAGAAGAUCUAUUAUGAAAAUGGAAUUAAAUUAGAGAAGACCGUGCCAAGGACACCUUACCAGAAUGGUAUAGCAUAAUGAAUGAACAAGACAUUGACUGAAAGAGAAAAAAAACGUGUAUACAAGCAAGGUUGUCAAAGGAGUUCUUGGCAAAAGCAAUCAACAAAACAACUUACUUGAUCACAAAAUACUGGAAAAAGUGUGAACUAAAAAAAAGGUAAAGUUUUCUCAUUUGAGGGUAUUUGGUUGUGUAUCAUAUAUAUAUAUAUAUAUGUGUGUGUGUGUGUGUGUGUGUGUGUGUGUGUGUGUGUGUGUGUGUGUAUACAUAUUAGUGAUCAUGACAUAAACAUACUUGAUGCUAAAUCACUAAAAUGUACUUUCUUAGCUAUGGUGUUGAUAAUUUUGGUUAUUAGUUUUGGGAUGACCAGAGUAAGAAAGUGAUUAGAAGUAAGGAUGUCGAUUAGAAGUAAGGAUGUCAUAUUUAAUGAGAAAGUUUUGUAUAUGUAGAGAGAUGCAACACAUUCCAAUAGUCUGGUACAACUUGAACCUAUUUACUUUGAGCCAAAUGAUGUCCCAUUGAAUAACAUGACAAAUAAGACAGGUCAUAAUCAUUAGAUUGAGGAAAAUACUGCAUAAGAUGUUAAUAUAUCACAAGAUCUAGUUUCAAUUCCUACUUUGAGGAGAUCUAACAAGCCACAUGUACCAAAUAGGAAGUAUUUAAAUUAUUUGCUACUAAUAGAUGGAGGUGAACCUAAAUGUUAUGAUGAGGCAUGUCAGAUGGAAGAUAAUAGAAAGUGGGAGCUUACGAUGAAAAAUGAAAUGAAGUCCCUUAUUCUUAACCAGACUUGGAAGCUAGUCGAGUUACCAAUGGGUAAGAAAGUUUUUCAUAAUAAGUGGGUGUAUUAAAUUAAGUAGGAGCAUGGUGGUUCUAAGAGAUAUAAGGCUAGAUUGGUGGUCAAAGGGUUUCAAUAGAAGAAAAAUGAUUGACUAUACAUACAUUUUCUCUCUAGUUGUGAAACUAACUAUUAUUCAAUAUGUUUUGAGUAUUGUAGCAAUAAAGAGUUUACAUAUAGAACGGUUAGAUGUGAAGAUAGCUUUCCUCUAUGGUGAUUUUGAUGGGGAAAUUAGUAUAUAUGCAACAACUAGAGGGUUUUGUAGUGAAGGGUAAAGAGAAUCUGGUGUGCAAAUUAACUAACAGUCUGUAUGAUUUAAAACAAGCCCCAAGACAAUGGUAUAGAAUAUUUGGUAGUUUCAUGCAAAAGAAUAGGCAUCUCAAGUGCAAUGCAGACCAUUGUUGUUACUUUAAGAGAGUUGGUUCUAUCUAUAUUAUUUUGUUACUUUAUGUUGAUGGCAUGUUAGUAGUUGACGCAAAUCUAGAUGAAAUUAACAAGUUGAAGAAAUAGUUGUCUAGUGAAUUUGAAAUGAAGGACUUGGGAGCAACAAAGUAGGUACUUGGGAUGAAGAUUAGCAAAGACAAAUAAACGAGCAUCUUAUGGUUAUCUUAGGCUAAGUAUAUAUACUCAUAAAGUAUUGCAAAUAUUCGACAUGAGUAAUGUAAGGCAAUUAGAACAUCAUUAGCAAAUCAUUUCAGGUUGUCUAAUUAAGCAUUGCCCAUGGGCAGAUGAGGAAAAAGACUUCAUGGCUAAGGUUUCAUAUGCCUUAGCCAUUGGAAGUUUGAUGUAUGUUAUGAUAUGCACGACACUAGACAUUGCCUAUGCAGUGGAAGUUGUGAGCAAAUUUAUGUCAAAUCUAAGUAAGUAGCAUUAUGAAGUAGUGAAAUGGAUGCUUAGGUACUUACAGGGUACUACAAAAAAAUGUCUAUGUUUCGAAAGGGGUGAGUUAAAAUUGCAAGGAUAUGUGGAUGUUGAUUUUGCCAAUGAGAUAGAUAAUUGGAAAAGUACUACAUGGUAUGUGCUCACUUUGGGUACUAUUGCUAUUAGUUUGAUUUCUCAAUUGUAGAAGAUUGUUAUUUUAUCUACAAUUGAAGUAAAAUAUGUGGCUAUCACAGAAGCUAGAAAAGAAAUGAUUUGGCUAUAGAGUUUGUUAGCAAAGUUAGGAUUCAAAUAAGAUAUGAAUGUUUUGCAUAGUAAUGGCCAAAGUGCAAUACAUUUGGCUAAGUAUUCAACAUUUCAUUCAAGAACUAAUUAUAUUACACUUCAUUAUCACUCCAUCAGGUUUUUGCUUGAAGAUAGGGUGUUAACAUUUGUGAAGAUACAAGGUAGCAAGAAUCCGGUUAACAUGUUAACUAAAAUAGUGAUAAUAGAAAAAUUGGAGUUGUGUGCAACUUCAAUUGGUCAAUAAUGAGAAUAGGUUGUUUGAGUGCACCCUCAUACCCAUUAAUCAUUGAAAGAGAAUGUUUACUUGUGUUUUAGUCUUCAAGUGGAAGAUUGUUGGAUUGUGAAGCUUGAAUCAGUUUUAUUAUGCCCCGAUCAACUUGUAGGGAUUGAAGGGCGCAAUGCUCUAUGGAGAAUUUAUUUAUUUAUUUUUAUGUAAUGAUUGACAGGUUUAAUCUUAUUAUAUAUUUUAACCCUUUUAUGUUUUAAGGUUUUGUUUUUUAAUGUGUAGUUGCAAUUGAGAGGUUUUUUGAGAGCUUUGCUAUUCCACUCCUUCUCAUCCCUUUUAUAGUGAAUUGUUGUAUGUUGGUGUACUCCAUUGAUGUAGGGAUCAAAUUGAUCGUAAAACCAUUUUUUUUUUUUUUUUGUUUCUAUUUAUACAUGAGUGUGUGCGUGAUUUGGUUAACAUCAGUUAUCUUAAUAAUUCUAUUCCUGGAAUAGGAAGAAAAUGAUGAUUCCAUUAAUGUAGCAUGCAUUGCUGCUUAUUUAUCAAGCAAAUUACAUUAUUAUUACACCAAACCUCCAAAUUCACCACGUACGUAUCGUAUAUACCGCAUGAUAAGAUUUAGAGAGGUAAAACAAGCGCUUAUUGUUUACGGAUAGAUAAUGUCCCACCGACCUUUUACUCUGAUACCUUGAAAUGAGAAAUUUGGAGGUUUUCCACACCAAGCUUCUUGAGAUUACCGCGCUUUCUCGUAGCGAAGAACUUUCCCCAGUUGUAUGCUCUAUACUUUGGUUUUUCCCCCUUCGUCAGCUCCUCCAAGGGCUGCACCCAAAGAUGGUGCGCGGGAUUGAAAAAGAACGGAAUCGAGAACCUUUCCCUCUCUGAAUUCAGUAUCACUCUGUGCUCCACACUCUCAUAAGUUUCGUUGCUCCAAACCUGGUUUAAUAUCAGUAUAAUUAGCCAAAUAGGUGCAAAAUUCGGUGAGCGAAAUAACUGAUAAGCAGGUGCUUAUAAUUCAAAGUUCUUGGGUGGUACCUGAAUUAUAUCCCCAACAUUGAUGAUUUAAGCAUCUGGGGUGGGCUUCACUCGAACCCAUUCUCCGUCGGUUUUUCGCUUUACUUCCAACCCUCCGACAUCAUCCUGGGCAAGGAUGGUUAAGGCUCCGGCAUCCUUGUGGUGACCAACGCCCAGAGCUAGGUGAGGGACAGGGCAAGGUGGGUAGUGAUUGAAGCGGACGAAGCUCGUUGAUUCUUCAAAGAAAAGAUUGAAUCUGUUUUCUGGCAAACCUAAGCUCAGAGAGAUGAGUCCCAUCAGCUUGAAAGCUAGUUUUUCCGUUUCUCUCGCAUAUUCUUCACAGACCUCCCUGUAUAAAUCAGUUCAAUUAGAACAAAACAAACUAAGUAAUUUACUGUAGUGACUGUGCCUUAGCUGGUGAAAUUUGUACCUUAAUUCAGGAGGGUACUGAGGCCACCGAUUGGUCAGCUCUAUGAGCUCCUUGUCCUCAGGAUCAUCCGAAGCAGGGCCGAAGGCGGGGGUUCUCACCACGAAAUCAAAGACUUCUUUCCAGUCCCUAACGUUCUUGGUAUGCUCAGUAUCAAAGUACCCAAAAGGAUUCACCUCAUCUCUACUCACCUUCCUCUUCUCCUCCACUGGCAGAGCGAAGAACGUCCUCGCGGCAUCCCAAAUUUUCCGGCGAGACUCCAAGGGCACCCCAUGGUUGAUGACUUGAAAAAAGCCCCAGUUCUUGCAUGCAUCAGCUAUUUGAGAAACAUGAUUGGAAGCAUUGGCGGAAGAGAGAUCAAUGAGGGGGAUGCCUUCAGCUUCGAUAACAGCGAGCUUAGGCCUAUGUUGGGCGUCUUGGAUGAAGGCUGGAUUGACCUCUCCCAUGGCUGUGGUAGUGAUUAGAACUUAGAAAUGGCAAUUAUGCUCUGGUAGCUGCAGGUGAAGAUGGUUACAGGACUUGGGCAACUCGGCAGGUGGUUUUUAUAGCAUAAUAGGGGUGUUGGUUUAAUACCUUGAACCUGGACAUAAUAUGGGUUACGUGUUAAGUUUUAGUUCGGGGUGUGAGCUCAUGGGUUGCGCAUAUGUUAAUGAGAUUUGGUCAAGUGAUACCUAGCUAUUUCCACGGCACCCUCAAUAUUCAAAUAUUUCAUCCGUACUCGAUUUGGAAGGUUGAUUAGUAAAUCUGAUGGUGUAAUGUCUAUUUUUGAAUUCAAUGCUAUAUAUUUAACGGUGAAGAUAAGAAAAAUAGAAGAGUUGAUAACGUUGAAGAAAAAAUGCCAAAGUUUUAAGAAGGUAGAGUUUUGAUGAGAAAUAGGUAAAAUUAAAAUUGCAUUAUAAUAAUAUAAAUUAAUUAAAUCGGUAAUCACCCAUUUAAUCUCAUUCUUAUCCACAAUUGUUGAUAGUUGAUCCUACAAAAUUCUAAAAAAAUCUUCCACAAAGACAAAUCACAAGAUGUUCAAUAACAUAUAUGCUUUUGCACCAAAAAUUGUAUAAGGGAAAAAAAAAUGAUGCACAAAAAAAAAAAAAAAAAAAUUCUAUAUCUAAUAUUAUUUCAUAGGAAAACUAACUAUAAUAAAUUUUAAAAGCAAAGAGCGUUUUACCAUAUCUAAAUAAUAGAUUAUUAAAUUCUUUAUUUUUCAAUUGGAUAUUUUUUUUUAAAUUAGAAACAUCUAUAUAAAAAUAAAAAUCACUUUAAAAAAAUUUUAAAUUUAAGAUAAUAAAUUUUUUAUAAUAUUUUAAUUCUUUUAAAUAAUUUUUAAAAUUAUUAUUUUUUCAAUAUAAAAUUUUAAGAGUUUUUGUAUUUUAUAUAUAAGUUACUAAUAUUCUCUUAUUUUAAACAUAGAAAAUAAAAAAUGUAACCAAAUGAAUUAGAAAAUAAAAAAGUUGAAUAAAAAUAGUCUAACCAUCUUAAACCUAAUAAUGUUUGACAGAAAACACUUAAAUAUACCUUGUAAUUUUCCUCACUGGUCAGCUCCUCCGAAGGCUUCACAUUCACAUGGUGCGCCAGUAAGAAGAAGAAUGGAAUCGAAACCCUUUCCUUCUUGUGUCGACCCACACUGAGAGCGAGCUCCAGCCACGAGCACGAUGGAUGGUGAUUGAGUCGGAUGAAGCAUUAGCCUUCAAAGAAUUCAUUCAACCGAUCCCCCACCAAGCCUAAGCUUAAGGAGAUGAGUUCCAAGAACUUGUAAGCUAAUUUUUCUAUUUCUCUAAUAUAGUUUUUCCAAAUUUUCCUGAAAAUAAAUCAUUAUAUAAAAUAUAUCAAUACUCAAAAUAAAUUUAAUAAAAUCUUGUCUUGCCUUUAUGUCUCUAGUUGAGUCUGUUUGGCUUCAAGCUGUGCAUUUAUGUCUCCGGUUGAGUUUGUUAGGCUUUGAGUCGCACCUUUACACCUCUAGUUGAAUAUGUUCGACUUUGAGCCAUGCCUUUACGUUUUGAGUUGAGUCUAUUCGGCUUUGAGCCACGCCUUUACAUUUUAGUUGAAUCUGUUCGAUUUCAAGCCGUGCAUUUACAUCUAUAAUUGAGUCUAUUCAGCUUCAAAUUGCAUCUUCACAUUUUUUGUUGAAUCUGUUCAGCUUCAAGCCACUCCUUUAUGUCUCUAAUUAAAUUUGUUUGGCUUUAAGUUUCACCUUUAUGCCUUUAAUUGAGUUUGUUCGGCUUUUAGUUGCGCUUUUACGUUUUGAGUUGAGACUAUUUGGCAUCGAGUUGCAACUUUAUGUUUCAAGUUGAAUUUGUUUAGCUUCAAAUCGUGCCUUUACAUCUCUAGUUGAGUUUGUUCGACUUCAAGUCAUGCCUUUAAGUCUCUAGUUGAGUUUUUUUAGCUUUGAGCUGCGCCUCUACAUCUCUAGUUGAAUUUGUUUGGCUUCGUAUCACAUCUUAUGUUUCGAAUUGAGUUUAUUCGACUUCGAGUUGUGCCUUUAUGUUUCUAGUUGAGUCUAUUCAGCUUCAAGCUGCACCUUUACUUUUUGAAUUGAGUUUGUUCGGCUAUGAGCAAUGCUUUUACAUUUCAAGUUAAGUCUGUUUGGCUUUGAGUUAAGCCUUUACGUCUCUAGUUAAGUCUAUUCAACUUCGAGCCGCAUCUUUCAUUUUUGAGUUGAGUGUGUUUGGCUUUGAACCACACCUCUAUGUUUCAAAUUAAGUCUAUUCAUCUUCAAGUCGCACUUUUAUGUCUUUAGUUAAGUUUGUUCAGCUUCGAGCAAUGCCUUUAGGUUUGAAGUUGAGCCUAUUUGACUUCAAGCCACACCUUUACAUCUCUAGUAGAGUUUGUUUGGCUUCAAGCUAUGCCUUUUUGUUUCGAGUUUAGUCUGUUCAGUUUUGAGCCAUGCCCUUACGUUUCAAGUUAAGCCUAUCCGGCUUCAAGUCGCGUCUUUACAUUUUGAGUUAAGACUAUUCGACUUCAAGCUAUGUCUUUACAUCUUUAGUUGAGUUUGUUCAACUUCAAGCUACGCCUUUACGUUUUGAGUUAAGUCUAUUCGGUUUCAAGUUGUGUCUUUAUGUUUUGAGUUGAGUCUGUUUGGCUUUAAGUCACACUUUUACGUUUUGAGUUGAGUCUCUUCAACUUUGAACUACACCUUUAUAUAUCCAGUUGAGUCUGUUCGAAUUUGAGUCACACCUUUGAGUUUUGAGUUUAGUCUGUUCGGCUUUGAGCCACACUUUUACAUCUCUUGUUGAGUCAUAUUUAGCUUCAUUCUACGCCUUUACAUUUCCAAUUGAGUUUAUUUAGCUUUGAGUUGUGCCUAUGUUUUAAAGUUUGUUCAAUUUCGAGCCACAUCUUUAGCCUUAUUAAGUUUGUUCAAGUUUAGUUGUGCCCUCACCCAUAUCCUUAGUUUUAAGUUUAUUCAGCUUCAAGCCAUGCGUUUGUCCUUGUUAAGUAAGUUCGGCUUCGAGCCACGUCUUAGUUUUGAAGUUGUUUAUCCUUGAGCCACACCUUCCUUUCUUUUUUAGUUCACUUAGGGUUUUCUCCUUCCUCGAGUUUAUUAGUGCAUUCGAGUUCAUUUUUCUUUAAGUUGAUCACUCUUUAUCUUUGUUGUCCUUGAAUUGUUCAUUGUGUCACAAUUCAGUGUUUUUCAUUGCAUAUAUACUCCCCACAUUGUCUAUAUUUUAUCCUGAUGAGUUUCUUUCCCAAUACGUGACCUCGAUCUUUGAGUUUAGCAUGCCAUGUGCUAAGACAAUUUCGAGUGCUCUUUUGUUCUUCAAUGCAAUUCACUUCAUACCAUUCAUCACUCAUGUUUCACUGUUUGUGUUCAUUUCAUUCGUGAUCUACAUCGGAGAGAGACAUAUUUGUUGGCCCUUUACUUUGUCCUAUAAUACAUAUUUUCACAUUUUUUUAUUUUCCUCUUGCCCCAUACUCAUUUUUGGUGCUCGUUUUGGAUCCUUCUUGUUUGAUCAUUCAUGGUCCCUUAUUGGUCCACGUUUACUUGACUCAUUAUUCAUUUUUUAGUCGCAUUUUAGAGGCCAUGUAGGAGGAAUUUUGAGUACAUGCAAGCUUAUUUUUUAGAGACCCUUAGUAGUUGGCUCAUAUGAGGACACGCCUCCUCACACUACUACAAAAAUCAUUUAUGGUGUCACUAUUUAUAGUGACACUUUUAAAAUAAUGACACCAUAUAGCUUAAAAUCCACAAAGGUGACACAUCAUAUAAAAAUUUUCAAUUAGGAUCAAUGAUAUUAAUUUUAGGUUUAUAAUGUCAGUUGCCAAAAAAUGACACCAUAUAAAAUAUUUUUUUUCUAAAUAUUAUAACUCAAUUGGCCCACUUUGAGAAUAAUGAUAGUAUAUAAAAAAAUCAUUGUUUCCACAUACCCACAAUCCAAAAAAAUUUCAUUCCAUAACCCUAACCAAAAUUUUUUUCUACCUCUUCUCACACCCAUAGUUAACACACAACUGUUCUUCUCUGCUUUGUGGACUCUCAGGUAACCCAAAAUCUCUUAGAUCUAUCAUUUUCAUUUAUUUUUUUAUUAAUGUCAAAAUCUUUAUGAACACAAUUGAUUUAUGUUUAUUGAUUUAAUAUAUUUGUAAUAUGGAUUGUGUAAAUAGUGUUUUUUUAUUGAGUUGUAGGAAAGUAAAAACUAGGUUUAACAUUCCACCAUAUCUUCUGGUUCAUUGUUAAACCCAUAAACCCCAAAAUGAAUGAAAAUAAGAAAAAUGAAUUAUUUUUAAAUAUCUUUUAUACUCAAGAUAAUAUAUAAACAUUUUACAAUACAAAAUUUUUUUUUGAUCUUGUAGGAAAUUUCCUUUGAUAGGAUUUUCUGUUUGUUUUCAAGGAAUAUUGUAGUAUAUUGUGAUGAAGAUAUUGAUUGGUGUUAUUUGAAAAAUAAUUUUUUAGAAAAUUAUUCUCAAUAUUAUCAUCUCCCACAAAAUGAAAAAUGAAAUAGUUUUCAUAUCAUAUUGGAGUCGGUUUGGAAUGUUGGAAUUAACAAUGAGAAAUUAAUUUUAUUUUUUAUUUAUUAAUGUAAAUGAAUUGUUUUUUUUUUAAAUUUAAAUAGGAAUGAAAAUUUUUAUAAUUAUAAAAAUGAUCAAAUAUUAUAUUUUGAUUUUUUUUUCUAUUCUUUUACAUGGUAUUAUGGUUAAUAUCUCAUCUUGUUCUAUAUAUAUUUUUUAUAUUCUUAAAAUAUGUUUUUUGCUUUUUGUUUUUACUUUCUUUUCUUAUUGUUUUUAUAUGUGUUGACCAAAAUUUAGAGUAAUUUGAGAUUGGCGAUAAAAUUUUCCUUUCAAGGUUAGAAAAUUUCUAUAAAAUCAUUUUAUUACAUAAUUUUUUCAAUUCCUUCCAUAAAACUCUUCCUUUUUCCUUUUUUAAGAAGAUGUUUGAUAAUUUUCUUUUGAUUUCUAUGAAAUUUCCUUUUAUUGGACUGUUUGUUUAUUUUCUAAGAAUAUUAUAGUAUGUUAUGAUGAGGAUAUUGGUUGGUGAUAUUUGAAAAUUAAUUUUUGAGAAAAUUAUUCUCAAUAUUGUCAUCUGCCACAAAAGGAUUUUAAAAGUAUGUUUUAUUUUUGCCUUCUUUUCUUAUUGUUUUUAUAUGCAUUGACCAAACUUUGGAGUAAUUUGAGAUUGAUGAUGAAAUUUUCCUUUCAAGGCUAGGAAAUUUCUAUAAAAUCCUUUUAUUACAAUUUUUUUUUUUUUCCUAUUCCUUCCAUAAAACUCUUCCUUUUCUUCAUUUUUCUUUUUUGAUGUUUGAUAAUUUAUUGAUCUAAAGAAUAUUAAAAGUAAAAAAUUUAAAAUAUUGAAUAUUUUUUCCUUUGAUGUUGUUAUUUUAUUAUUAUUUUUAUUUGAACAUAUUUUUCAUAUCCAAAUUUUCUAUUAAUUAUUUUACUUUUAAAAAAAAUAUCAAUUGAAGUUAUGACUGAAAAAUCAAUAAUUUUUAUGAAAGGUUCUUUAAUUCUUUCUCAUACUAAUUUUUCUCUUAACAUUUCUUAAUAGUGAAUUAGGUUUUUUUGUUUUAUAUACACAAUUUUCAUGCUUGUUAUAAUAUCAUGUCCUAUCAUAUUAGUAGUUGAAAACAUUUUUAUAUUUUGUUACUAAAAUUUUAUUUUAUAUAAUUUACAUGAAUUUUAAUGGACAUUGUUAUUUCACAAAAUGAACAUUAAAAAAAAUAUUGAAAUUAAGAAAAUCCUUCCAAGAAAUAAAAAAAUAUAAAAAGAAUUGGAUGUUAAAAAUGAUUUUUAAAAGCAUUAUGAAUUAUAAAAAAUAAAUUUAAAAGAUUAGUAUUUUCUAAAAUUUUAGAUUUAUAUUUUGAUUUUGUAGUUUUGAUUUAUUUCAUAUUUUCUUGAAUUGUUUUUAUUUGAGUUCAAAUGUGACUACUUUGUUAUGAGAUUCAUUAAAAGGAUAAUUGUUGAUUCUACAGUUAUUGCAUUAAAGGUUUUACUCAUUUAAUGAAUUGUACAUAGUUUCAUACUUCUAAUUAUUGUGAUAUUAAUGUUAUUUUCAUUUGAUUUUAGUUUGAUGACAAAAAACAUAUUCUCAAGUAGACUUUGAUGAAAUAAGAGGAGAAUGGAUUGCUUUUGUGUUAUAACUAAUCAUGAAUCAUGUUGAUGUAUCGUGAUCAUGCAUGGUGAGUCCCUUAGUUGUUAUAUAAAUUUUCCAUUGGUAUUGUAUAACAUUACUUAUUCUUUAUGAACUAUUUUUAUAUCAAAAUAGGAAAAAGAAAAAAGGAAACAUUAGUACUUAGAUUUGUUUAUUUUUUUAUAACAUCACUAUGGACCCCGCAUUUUCGGCUCGAUGCGUUUCCCACUCGAUGGCGAGCUCGAUUUUUAAUUUUGAAAAAUGAUUUUUAUUCAUUAAAAAUGACUUGGAGUCGCCACUUAUUUUUGUUUUAUUUUUAAAGGGUAAACAAAAUAAGAAAAAAAAACCCUAAGUGUGACUCCUUAUUUUAGAAAAGGCGAUCUACGAAAAAACCGGAUUGGGCUCGGGGGUUAGGUUACUUAUCGGGAAGGUACGGUAAAGACCGUAGCACCCCUCUAAGUCCCUAAAAUCGGGUCUUUACUAAUAGAAUGAAGCUGACGUGGCAGUCAACAAGAAAAUCGAUGAAUAGUCAAAUCAAUCAUGCACAAUAUGAGAAGCAAAACAUGUAUAAAGAAUGAGCGAAAUAUGAAUAGAUGCGUACCUGGACGGCAAUCACGAACGCGCUAUCAUGAAACAUGGUUAGUGAACAAUGAACAGAUAUAAUUAAGCGCAUAUCAAGGAAUAGAGUAAAUCAAUCAUGCAUAGCAAAUAAAUAAAUCAAUUAGUUAAUCGAUUAUAAAUCACAUAUGUGGGGCCCCACCAAAGUCCAUUUAUUUUGCAUGAUUUAAUUCCAAUAACUCCAUUACUUGGAAUUACGGAAAUGAAUUCUUGCUUAUUUUAAAACGUUUUAAAACGAAGGAGAUGUGGAAAUUAUUUGCUAGAAGGAAAGAUGACAACAAAAUUUUAUUGGAAAUGAGAUUUUUGAGUGAUCCUAAAAAUUCUAAAGAUGAAAAUUUGAAAAAUAAAUAAAUAAAUAAGAAUAAAAUAAAAUUAUUUGAAAAUCUAGAAAUUGGAAACUAUUUGAAAACGGGAAAUUUGGAAAUUAAUUUAAAAUUGAAGAUAAAGAAAUAAAUAGAUAAAUAAAAAAAUAAAUAAAGGACACGUGACUCAAAAUGUGGUCAUGCAUAGUUGCUUGUAAAUUGGACAGCCAGUUGCUUCUCAUACUCUCAGCGUCAAGAUGUUCCUUGAUGUAGUUGCCCCAUGUGUCAUCCUUAGCCGUGAUAAUGCAUGUGUUUUCAUCCCAAUUAAAGUCACUUUGAUCAAGAAGUGCCUUGAUAGUGACAUAUUGCAUCCUCAAGACAUCAUACCGAUUCCUCAGUUGGUCCUUAUCCAUGGAUUCCCGCGAAAUAAAUCUGUUACCAGAACAUUGUAACCAUUGCAUGCAACGCGAUAUGCGGAGUCCCUUGUGGAUGAAUUUUCGAAGCCAAAGGCAUCAAACAAGAGCAGUAUCCCUGCCAACUGCGUGUUCAUCCAGCCGCUCAAUCACGCCACUAACAUGGGCACAGCGGAAAGCAUCAACACAACCUUAAUUCCUCUCUUGUAGCUGUUUAGCAGAUCCAAGUCUGUACAAGACUUGAUCUAUGGCAACGUCAUGAGGAUAUAGCCGCGGGGUAGCAUAUGAAUCCAAUCAAUGGGAAAUGGGCAUUAGGAAUGGUGGUCAGGCUUUGCAUGAUUUCAUACACGUGAAUGAGUGAUGCUGGGACCUUCAUGGAGGCUUUGAGUGGAUCUUUGGGCGGCGGUGUAGAAAGAGAAAGGUAGCAGGAAGAAAAGAAUGGGUGUGGGCUUGGUGGUAUGAAACGUGUGGUGUUAAAGAGGAAUGUGGCGUACAUGAGGAAAGACAUGGUGAGUGGAAUGAGCUAUGGGCAUGAGAGAAAUAGAGAAAAUGGGUAUGAAGGUUAAUGAGAGAGAACGGGCGUGUGAGGGUGGUAAAGGAAAAUGGAUGAUGGAUGCACAUAGGUGGAAAUGGGAAUGGAUUUGAUAAAGCAUGAAGGUAGGAAUGGGAUUCGGGUGAUAUUAGAUUACCAUGCAUGGAGAAUGUAUACGUGGAGGUCUAUUAUGCAAAGGAACUAAAAACGGGUCAAGUGAAGGGCUGUUUAGGGAAUAUGGCAUCAGUUUCAGGUUGAGGGGAUGGGGCCCUUGGGCCAUUUGGCUACCCACAAGUAUGAUCUACAAAAUAGGGUCCUUAUGUCAGGGUCAACUUUCGGAUUUUUGCAAAGCUGAUGCUACCAAUUUAAACUCUGAUCAAUCAGUGUCCGCGAUCUUGAGUCCUUCAAGCUGAUGCAACGCGUCUUUAGGAAGGUAGAGCCUCCAAUGAAUACUUUAGAUUUCGAUUUUUGAACAAUCAUGGCAGAACCCUUCAUCGAUUGGCAUUAUCAUUACCCUGGGAUUGCAGCAAGAUGCAUGGAAGGCUUCUUCACUAUUAUCACAAAUGAGCAUAUACAAUAUAUUUUCUGAAUGACCACACGAUUUACAUGGUUGGGAUGAGUUGCUAUUCCCACUAACUCCCAGAACUUCAAGAAGCUCCUGACUCCUCAGUAUAGAAAUGCGUGUAAUCAUUACCCUCUUGUUUGGCAUGACCUGUGCAUACCCAAGAAUGACACCUACUAACCAACCAAUUGAUCCUUAUUGCAUUUAGAACUCAUCUGCAUCCCCUAGUCAAUUUCAGUUUCUGACAGUUAAACCAAAAAUCCCCAGUCUCAGCAAUGACAGUAGUCUCACUUGACAACAUUUUCUGUAUAUGCUGGAACAGAACAUAAACCCUCAAAGGCUCCUCGGGAUCAGACGUAGGAGACUGUCCCUCAGGAACGUAAACUCUAUGGUAGAACUCAUAGGCAGUGAUAUUGCAUUCGAGCCUCUUGGAGAAUGACUUGAAGAAAUCUUUCAUCAAAAUGCACCCAAGCUCAAGCCCAUAAGCACACCAAACACCAUUAUUGGGUUCGUUACAUCACCAUGCUACGGAGUUUAUACAACAGGAAGCUCUAACUGAUGAUGGUUCUGGUAGUGAUUUGCCAAUGGGAACUUGGCCAUCAAGUGAACCCGAUAUCAGAAGCUGAAGUUAUUACCUUGUACUCUUCUAUUCCCCCAUUAUCAGCAAUUCCAAUGGAAACAGUAGGAGAGCCUCAAGACUGUGUAUCCAUUCAAUAACUCUGUUUCUCAGUCAGGAUGCAAAAAACUCCCCAAUGAUUCUACAGCUGCAACCACAGGAGCCCCACUACUACCAGUUCCUUCACCCAUUCUGACAGCAACCAAAACCAGACCAAUGACUUGAACUUUAGACUUCCCCAAUCCAUUAAAUCCAGAAACCACUUGGAGUUAGAAACAUUUUCUACCUCAUCCUAGAACUUUCAGGUAUUUUACAAAGUAAUGGUCGGUAUUUUUCAAAAGCAAAAAGAAAAAAAGGUAAGACUCAAGAAACAGAGCAAACUCAGAAUUCGUUAAUCAAGACUCCAUCUCAUGCUGCACUCAAUGGAUCUAAACAGGUGAGACAAGCAGGGAGCAGUGGCAUGAUUAAUCAAUCUCAAAAAUAAUCCAUAUAUCGGUUAUUGACAGGAAAAAACAAAGAAAGCAGAAAAGAACCCAAACAGAGCAAAUACAAAAACAAACUCAAAUUCAGCAAAUCAAUCCACAAUCAAGAAAAACUAACAAUGCUCAAGUAGCCUGAGAAAAAUGAUGAAGAACAGUGAUAAUGAAAAAUACCCUAAAAAAAAGAACACGAUACUUCAUACCUGUGAAACUCCUCUCCGAUGAAGCUCACCUACCAAACCAAUCUGCUCCCAUCCUUGGCACUAGAACCCCUCUCCGUAGCAGCCUAAGCUCAAGGAAAUCCCUCUCCAGACCGAUCUCUUCUUUCUUCUCAAGUUCUUUUCUCCUCCUCUCAAAAUAUCUCUCCCUGAAAAACGGCAGCCAAAACCUCCCUCUGCAGCUGGCCUGCCCCCGUAACAGAAUACCCCCCUCUAGCUUUCUCACUACCCUCAAAAGCACCCUCUCUCUCCUGCAGCUGCAAGCCUCCACUACCCCCAUGCAGCUGGCAGCCUCUACUCCUCUAACGGCCAGCAGAUUCUCCUUCUAGAAAAUUCUUUCCCUUUUCCAGGUGUCUUUCCCUGAUUGGCCCAUCAAUUCCACUAUAGUGAUUCUACAGUGACCAAUCCUAAGAAGGCACGUGGCCUUAUGAGAUUGCGACACUUGGCAAACACAGGCUGCCAAAAAGUGAGCCCCCAAAUGGGGGUCUACAAUCACAUUUUUAUUUUCAAUAAGAACUCUAAAACUCAUUAAACUAUAAAAUGCAGAUAUACACUCUUGAGAGGACAAUAUGAAGAAUAAAAAGAAAUAAGAAAGAAGCAACAAGAUUUGGAUUUUUAGAUGUGACUCUUAUGUCAUACAUUAUACGACAUAAAUGUUAUUUUAUUUGGAAUUGAGAAUUGUGGGUUUUUUUAUGCAACUCUUGUGUCAUUUGGUUAGCCGGUUUUAUGCAUAUGAAACGUAAGUAUACAUGAAUGUUGGGAUGCUUAACAUUUCUAAAUCAUGUUUUAAUGUGUAUUCACUUUUCUUUUUUAGUUUUGGUGGGUUUGAUAUACUAUGUUUUGUGAACAUUUGAUAUACAAAUAUUAGUGGAUGAUGUAAUGUAUUAUAGGUUAAUCCAUAAGCAUAAAGAAAAUAUAAGUUAAAUGUAAUAUGAUUAUUAUAUUUAUGGACAAAAUUUACACACGUUGAUCUUAUUUAUUAAUAAGCAUUACAAAAAUCUAUAGGCUAGUCAACAAAAAACAACCAUAUCUUCUAUAAUCAUUUACAAUGAAGUGACACCAUAAUUCAAAGGUGAUGCAUUUAACGUGACAUCAUAACUCAAAGGUGAUGCAUUUAAUAUGACACCUUAUAUAUCUCACAUAACUCUAUAUCAAAUUAAGCAUCACUAAAAAUAUAUGGUGUCGCUUCUAAAUGCGUCACAAUUUAUCUGUUUUGGUGUCGCUUCCAAAUACGUCACCAAUUGGUACCCUCUAUGGUAUUGGUGGAUAAGGUGACGCUAUGUUGUAGCGACACCCUAUGUUUAGGGUGACUCGUUAUAAAUGUCACCAUAUAUGUUUUUCCUUGUAGUGUCAUUGGGAAGGUUUUUUCCAUUUUUUAGAGGGGUUUUCUAAAGGCUUCUAGGGUGAGGACACUGUUCUCAUAUUGGCUUUUUUUCCCCCUUUUUAGAGGGGUCUUCUAAAGGCUUCUAAGGUCAACUAGGAGAGCAUGUUGAUUGAUGCUUUGAUAUGGAUACCAGAUGCCACAUUUCAUCUUGUUGAACACUGGUUAGCUAUGGACUUGUUACUGCUUUACUCUUCUGUUUCGAGUUAACUUUGGAAAUGAAUCUGAAUAUAGACUAGUAUUUGCAUCUUGAUGUUUAGAGAAUCAUAUUUUAGUUGUUGUUUAAAAUUCAUUUUGGCAUGUUCGAUUGCUUCAAGCUCAUUUAUACAAUAAUGAAAUGGAGAUUUAUAUAUUUGUUAUUGGGUUGGCUCUCUGUUUGGUUAUCUUUAAGUUCUGCAUCUUUUCUUUUCUCGUUGCCUUAUCUUCUCUGGGGGGUGUCGUUUGAGAAAUACAUAGUGGAAAAAAUGGGAAGCUGAAGGCUUAUCCUGGCAUCGACCUCGCGUUAGGGAACGACUUGAUCGAAGAACAUAUGAAUUUUUCAAAUACCCAGAACUCACAUCAAAAGAAGCAUCGGAGUCAAGGUCAAACACAUCAUCUGACAAGGAAUAUACCUUUGCCUUUGGUGACUUUAUUGACUUCUGCAUGAUGGACAUCCGAGGGUGGGGACUGGAAGAGAAAUGAUGAAUUUGCCCAAGAUAGUUUGUCUAGAAAGGAACUUGUAUUAAAUGAUGAUUACCCACUAUGUCAGAUGUUGAAAUUUGGGUAUGACAACUCCUGGUGGCAUCAGAAAGAUGAGUUGCACAAUCCUUCUCACAGUUGAAAGCUUGACCUCCGAAGUUGGGCUUUUUCAUGGCCAGACAAGAACAGUGAUCACAAUAGUAUGAGCCAAGCCUGUCACGACCCAAAUUCUAGGUGAACUUAACCAUGACUCCAAAUCAAAGGUUUAAACUUAAAGGUUACAUCUAUUCAAUCUAGUAGUCAAUCCUGAUAACUUGAUUUUUUUUUCUUGAUAAAACAAUAUCUAAUCCCAAAUCAAUUUAUUAAGCUAAUAACUUGAUUUUUUUUCUCAAUAAAACAACAUCUAGUCCCAAAUUAAUUUAUUAAGCUAAGAUUUACUAUAUCAUAUUAUUUGAUUUUAUUUUUCAAAAAUCAACCAUUACACUAUCACUUAUUUGCAAGUAUAAUAAAUCUGUCAAACAUCUUAUCACCCAAAAUGAUAACCCAAAUAUUUACAAAAAAAAGUUUUACAAAUUAAUAAAAUAUAGUCUAAGUUAUAAAAGUUCUUAUAAAUUAAAUUAGUAUGUGCUAAAAUAUAAGAUAACUGAAAAAAAAAAAAAAAAAAAAAAAACCAUUAUUAUUAUGGUUCCUUAAAAACUAUAUUUGCAUCUAAAAAUUUUAGAAAAUAAAGGGAUGGACAUUUCCACAUUACUUAGUAAGGUAUUUUACACCCACACAAAUUAGAAAUUCUAAGUCAAUAAAACACAAUCAUAUAUCAAAGUGUAAUUUUACAUCUAAUGUACUACAACUAUAUACAUUUAAACUAAUCAAAAUUAUCACUAACCAUAAUCAGACUCCAAAUAAUACAAAUAACAUUUAUUAUCUCCCAAAAACAUAAUGUGUAAUUUUGUUUCCAAAGAAAAAUAUAAAAUAAAAGUUUUAGGGUUAAACCACCCUACAUCAAAUUUGAAAAUCUAAUUGUUAAAACUAAAAUCAGACUCCGUAAAAAUGUUCUUUAUGUUAAAUAGAGUGUUUUGCUAAAAUCUCAUGCAAAACAGAAUUCAUUUGGCUUGUCGGAUGACAACCCAAAUAUUUGUUGCACCUUCCUUGUUUCUUCUCUUCCUUUGUGUUUCCGUUUGCACUCUUCUCUCUACGGAUCUGGUAAAUAGGGUAGCCCCUGGUACGCUUGGGGCUGGAUUGAAUCCUAUUCGAACUAUAUCUAACUUGAUCUUGUCCAAGCUAGGAAGGUUUUUGGUCUCGAUGACAUUGGAAGUUUCAUCAUUGCUAAAGAAAGGGGCGGCCAAAAAGGCUUAGCGACGACCCUCUCUCGACUUAAAGGAAACGACUUGUCCCAUCCAAUGCCCUACUUUUAAGUGCUCGGUAUGUUCACUUAAUCAAAUCUAGAAGAAGCUUGGCCUCUGUAGAGCAUGAAAAGGCUAGUUUUGAAGCUUUUAAUCGAGGACUUAUUUGCCCUAAAGCCUGACUUCUUAGGAAGAGAAAUGGGCUUGACUUCUUCAUCAACCUCGGAAUCGCAUUCUAUCACACUGGUGGUACUUCUUGUUGAAUUAAAAGAUUGGAUGAGUCUUUUUGUACCCACCCGCCACCCCUGUUUGAGAGUGAUUAAAUAUCAUAACUUCCUUAAUGGACCUACGGACUAGCUAAGGUUUACUUACAUAGUUGUUCUUUCUUUUCUCAAUUUCAAGUUAAAGUUAGCGUUUUUCAGCUUACUGUUUGCUUUGGUUGAGUAGCCGCCUUAUGACCCUUUGCUUUUGAAUGAAAUCAUCUAGAACCUCUCAGAUCGGAUUCCAAUCACCUUAGUGAGUCUCCUAGGUGCGAAGCCAUUCUUUAAGCCCAAAACAAAAGGAGAAGUGAAGUCACUAUCUAGACAAAGGGGCUUGCCUACUUAUAAGGUAGGAGUUCACACCGGGGAAUCGCUUUCUUAAUUAAUUAAAAGCGAGCCAAACUCACCACCUCAUGUACCAAAGUCAAACGGUUGUUCUUCCUUCCCCGCUCCCUUUUUCUCUACAUAUGUGAUGGCGGGCAGAGCGCUCUAUAUGACCGGUGGUGGGUUACCAGAGAAGAUGGGACAACUUCUUUCUCUCUUGCCUUGCUCAAUCUUCCUUUUCUGAUUGAAAGUAGCAAGCCACACCACUACUGGUACAGAGGUCGGAUAGAAGGUUGCUUUUUCUAUAUGUUCAGGCGAAGAACAUCUACGGCACAGUCUUCGCCAAGCAAGAUGAUGUAACUCCUCAAAACAUAAAAAGAGCUCUUAUAUAUGUAAAAACAUGAUAUAUGUGUAAAUGAAUUAUAGCCAUUUUCAAAUAGAUCAGGAUCGUCAGAUGUUUGAAAUGGAAAGUCAAUUUUUCUAUAUGCAUGUAGAUAUCUAUAGGGGAUUAUAUGAAGGGGAUGUUAUUAUUUUAGAUAUAAUCAAUUCCCUUCUCGGAGCCCACUAAGAUCCGGAUCUCCUACGGAAAUGAUUUAGAAGAUCCAAAACCAAAAAUAGUGGUAUUUGCUAGCAACAACAUAAUGGAGGCAGUCAAUCAAUAUAUAUUGAUCUAAAAUCUGAUUCAAAUCCAAUAUAGCACCUAUGGGUACAUAAAAGAAAGGCAAGAGAGAAAAGAAGUCCAUACUUUUCAACAAAGCUUUAAGUGAGUAGGGGUGUAGCAGAUUCAUGCACGUCGAAUAUAAAUGCAGUUGGAUGAGUAGUCGCGGAUUCACAAUGCCGGUUAAAAAGCCAAUCUUAGGGUUGCAUUCACUCCCCUUCUAUAUCUUGCAUCUAUAGUAUUUUUGUCCUGGUGGAUCUCUUUAUCAUUUAAUAAAAGUUUGGAAUCUUGGGUUACUAAUUGGUGGAAUACUAGGCAAUCUAAAACUUUUUUGAAUGAUAUUCAAGAAAACAAUCAAUUUCCCAUCAUUUGCACUAUGAAUGGAAAUGAAAUUCUAGAUCUAGAAUCAGAUGAAUGUGCAACAGUCAAUUUCCUCCCUCACAACCUAAUUGUCCACUAAAAACAACCUUUUUUACUAUACGCUAUUUGGCCGCUAGAAGAACUUCAGUUCUUAUAGGUAAAUGCUCAAUACCCAAGUAGGCCUACAAAGUUGAUCAUGAUCAAGUGCUUUUUGGGUCGUCUUAGACCUUGCAAUAUCUCUCCGGCCCUCUAGCACUCUGUUAUGGCUCAAUCACUUACUCUAGUUCUGGAGUUCUAGGUCCUCUAGCUAUUAGUGCAGGUAGCUCUCCUUCUGGUAAUGCAUUAUAGGUUGUCUUCCUUCCACCUUCCUGUUUUCAAGAAAGCUUAUUUUCUUUCUAAGAAAAAUCAUACAAUCUCGUAUGAGAACGGGAUUGAUGGGAGGCAUAUGCUCCCAGGCUACACAAUGUCUUACAGGGCUUACCCAGUUAGAAGGUAUGUAACUAAAGUCUCAAGAGAAUUGAAAUCGACGAGAAAUCAGAAUCAAUGUUAGAGAUUAGACUUGGCAUGGAAAAAGGAGUAUAGUAAGAUGAUAGAGACCUCGCACGAGAUGCUUACUCGGAUUCAUGCCCAUAAAGAGUAGAAGAUUCAACACAAGUGCAAGAAUAGGUUUCACAGUUAAGAAAGGUUGAGAUUCAGGUGAGUGAGUGAGUCCUCACUGACUUGAGCGAUUUCGAUCACCUAGCAGUUUAUUUGGUAGGUAACAUCGCUAAAGCAUAUCAUCUGAUCUACAAAUGAAGGAAAUCAAAGUGAGACGACACCGUCCUCUGUAACGCAACGAUAGUUGGCCCUUUAUCAUCAACUAUUUGGUAGACUUGGUAAAAGAUGUAAGGCUUUAGCUAGUACACGAAAGUGCAUACCAUGAUUCUUCUGUCUAUCAAUAACUGCAUGCAUUGCACGAUGGAUGUGAAGAAGUAGGCCAUUAUCUCGACAAUAAUGAGCCAAGCUAGUAUUUGCAGUGAAUCCCCCUGUUAAGUAGUCACAUUAAUGGAACAAGAACACAUUAGCGUAUGAAACAGAGCUGAAAGCGCGAGUGCACAAUCUCAAAAACGGCAAAUUCACGUUCUACUUCCUCAAUCUCGAACUCUGUCUAUUGGGAUGAGCUCCCCUUACCUGCGCUAUUCUAUGAACGAACUUCCUUUAUAAACCAUAAAACUGGAACAAUCACUGUUCCAGGGUCUGUCUCAGAGUUCUAUCUCGUGCUUGACAUCAAUUGCAUCCAAACCUUUAAUCGGGUAUACUUUCCACAAUAACAAGCGAGUCAUAGUUAGGUAAAAGUUAUACAGAAAGAUGACAUCGUUGGCGAACUUGAAGCUAGUUAGGUAAAUCCCCUUAUAUUCUUCUUUCUUCUCCCAUAAGACAUUCCUUAUUAUUAUUAUUAUUAUUAUUUUCAUUUUCUCAAUUUCUUUAUCUUUUCAACUUUAAGACACCAUUUUGCACUUCUUCUUUUUUAUUAUAAUUAUUAUUCUUUAUCAACCAUACCAUGUUAAGAAAUUUAUUUAUUUUAAUCCAAAAAUCUACUUAAAUACAAUUUCAUACUUUUCUUAAUAAAUUAUAUAUAUAUAUAUAUAUAUAUAUAUAUAUAUAUAUAUAUAUAUAUAUAUAUAUAUAUAUAUAUAUUAUUUCUUAUUAUAACAAAUUUAAAAUGUCACAUGUAUCAUUUUUUUAAUAAAUCAAAUUAUUAUUCUUUAUUUCAUAUUCUACAAUUAUAAAUUAUACUCAAUAUAUGAUUUAUUGUCUUACGAAAAAUAUACUGCUAUAUUCUUAAUUAAAUUUAUUACAAGUCUACUUUUCAAAAAAAAAUUAAUUUGACUUUAAUUACUUGAAACAUUUUUAUUAUGAAAUUCAUUUAGAACAUGAUUUCAUUAAUUAUAUAUUUAAAAAAAAUCAAUUUUAGAAAAAAAUCUGAAACAUAAAAUAAUUCUUCAACAUCAAGAAGCUGAAAUUCAUAAUAAUAUUUAAUCCUUUAAUUUUACCAAUAUUUAUUUACCAAUAAAAUUUAAGCAAUAUUCUGAAAUUUAAUUCCAUUAGUUAUUUAGUCAUUCAAUUUAUAAAAUCAUAUUCUCAACCUUUGGUAUAACUUUUAUUUAAUUUACUUCAUUUGUCAAAUUUCUCAAUUGAAUCAAAAUUUCAAAAGUUAAAUUCACUAAAUUCAUAUUUAAUUAAUUUAGCCUUUUAUAUUCCCUAAAUUAAUAUAUCAUAAUUUACUCUUAAUGUAAUUUCAAUUCAAUUUUAUUUGAUGUUUUGUAAUUCUAUAAGGUUUAAUUCUAAUUAUAAAAAUUAUUGAUUUCUUAUAAAAUUAAAUUCAAUUUCUUUUUAAUUAUCCAUUAUAACAAUUUGAUAUAAUCUAAAUUUUUAUCAAGUUUUUCUUACUACAAUUCUCUAUAAUUAAAUUAAUGGUCAUAAUAUACUUAAUAUUCAAUUUUAGAGACUAUAAUAUCAAUAAUUAUUUGAUGGUUGAAUUUUUUUCCAAAUUUAAAUUUAAUUUUUGAAAUUCCUACUCUUUGCAUAUGACGUGAUGGAAUUUUUAUACUAUUGACUUUUUAUUAACUUUUUCAAAAAAUUUCUUAAUUAAAUAUUAACACGGGGAUUUUCGUCAUUCUUUUUUAACAUUUGACUAAUGAUUUUAUGAUAACUUUAAUCUGACAUGUCAUUAAAAAUCCGGUUGUUAUAGAGCCAGUCAAAUUAAGCCUGUUAUCCGAGGAGUGAAGCCACUGCCUUGUUCUAUCUCCGAUGGCCUGCUCAGCUCCUUCAACCCCCAUCGCUCUCCUCUUUCCAAGUUCUCCAUUUUCAGUUUAGAGCCAACAAGGAUCGCAGAAAUCCUUAAAGAUUGACCUACAUGGUAUCGUGAGUACCGCGAUGUGGAUGUUCUUAAUGUGUUGUCUACUAGAGCCAAAUGGGUGUUUGAUAAGACCCAGUGAAGGUGUAAAAAUUAUAUGACGAAGCUUGCAGAAAGACUUUGAGUUGAGGGAAGGCAUCUCAACGAAGUUGGGCUUUUGUAUUGUGAAUCUGGCAAAUUACCUAUACUGCAUGGAUCAUCACUCUUUUAACGUGGAGGUACACAGGUCCUUUGCAAUGUGACACUUGGGGCACCACAUCAAGCUGGUGAUGCUCAACGACUGGCUUCUCUGGACGGGUCCUCCAACAAAGCGCUUCAUGCUUCACUGAAAUUUCCCGGAGUUCUCAAUUAAUGAAGUUGGCCAACUCCUUAACCUGCACUGUUCCGCAGCAGUCACAUAAAGAUUUGACAUUGAAAUUGAUCAGGUUUUUCCUCUGCCAAUGGUGGUGGGCGCGCUUUGUAUGUAGAUUCCGAAGGAACUUCCAACUUGAUGGCUGUGAGUGGUAAGGUUGGAGAAGAUACUACUGGGUCUGCCCCAUUAGUUUUCCAUUGUUAAGGUAGUUUGGUGCACAGCUUCCUGGAUCAUCUACACCACGAGCACCUCCAGCCGCCUGUUUUGAUCAGUUUCUGGAUUUCCAUCUCCAAAUUGUGCAAGCAGUGACUGAUAUGGUGUCCAUACAAGCGGCUACUGAAAUGGUUCAAACCCCAAAUGCUGAAGGGAAAGGAGCUUUUGGAAAAUAUCAUGAAGAAGACUCACCCAUCUUACAUGAAAUUAUACACAACUCCAUGGACCAGAACCGGAACCCAGACUUAAAUUUGUCCAAGAGAAGAUCAGUGUAAUACAAGUCAACUGCAGUCAUUCCUGAAAGAAGUGAUGAGAAGAGUAAACCUGGAAAAGCAGUGAGUGAAACAAGUUUUGUGACAUUGAACAAUUUGCAGAUGGGUGUUCCCACAAGCUCCUCUCCCCUCUUCCUACGUGCAUGAAAUUCCUACGUGCAUGGCCACCUUCUUAGGUGUGCAAUUCUGCGCAUAAUUCUCAAGCGUACUAUCACCCUCUUCUUUUUUGAAAAAUUGAUUUUAAAUUUAAAAUUUUGACAAAUUCAUUUCCCUUUUAAAAUCCCUCAGUAAUUCUCUUCAAAUUAAUAAAAUCUAUUUUCAAAAAAAAUUUGCUGCCAUUUUCCUUUUGGCAUAGACCUUUUUCUAUUUUCUUUGAUUUUUAAUCAUUUUCCAAUUUUUUAAUAAAUAUGAAUAAAUUCUAUGUUUUUAAAAAUAAUGGAAUUUUGUCCAAAUUUCUAUUAUCUUUUUCUCCAUGAUCAUUAGAAAGAUGAAAUUCCUAAAAUUAAUUCAUGCAAAUAAAUUGGACAUUGGUAGGCCCAACAUAUGAAUUUUUCUCCUUUGAUUAUUGUUUUUAAUUGCUACACUUGAUUGACUAAUGAUUGAUCUCUGUCUUGCUCUAGCAUACAUGAGAUUAUUUUGUGCUUGUUAUUGUACACUAACCAUGUUUCUCACGAAGCGCUCAACUUAUUCUCAAGUACGUUCUUUCCUUUUCCUAUUCGUUUAGUUAUAACCAAUGUUUUCAAAAUCGGACCGAUCAUUGAAUUGGAAAAGUUACUGGUUCACGGUUCACUGGUCGAAUCGGCGGUCAAAUCACGGUCAAACUAGUGAUGUCAUAAAUAUAUAAUUUAUAAAUUAUUAAAAUUUAAAAUAAUUAUAAAAAUAAAAAUAAUAAUUUAUAUAUUAUUUAAAAAUUAAAAUUUUAUUUAAAAAUUAGAAAAUUAGUUUCAAAUUAGAAAUUAAAAUUAAAAUCAUAAUUUUAAUUUUAAUUUUCAAAUUUUCAAAUUCAUUUUUAAAUAAAAAAAAACUUAUUUUAAAAUCAUGAAUUUAUUUAAAAUUAUAAUAUUUUCAUUAAUUUAAAUUAAAAUCAUAAGUUUUAAACAUCAUGAAAUAAAAAAUAAUAAAUAUAAAAGAAAAUAAAUUAUACUGAAAUGAGGUAAAAAAUAAUUUAAAAAAAUGGAAAAAGAGAGGAGAGGAACAAGCAAAAAAGGGUUCCAACAGGGUUUUGGGGGGUGGGGUUUCCAUUUCUAGCGCCAGGUGGGGGCCCUUCCGGUGGGCCAAAAGGGGAAAAGCUUUUUGGCUUUUCCAGUGCAAGGGGUGCCGAUGGGGUGGGGGGUUCCAAUGGGCAAGAAGAGCUCUUCCAGCGCACGCGGGUAGGAGUGGCGACAAUGGGGAAAAAAAAAAAGUUGAACCGGAUGGUUCCAUCCGAACCGUCCGGUUAGUCGGCCGAACCACCGAUUUAACUAGUCCGACCACUUUCCAGCCCAAUUGACCAAACCAGAUUGAAACCGUGACCAGCCGAUCCAAUCCAAUUUUUAAAGCCAUAAUUAUAGCUCAACCAUAACACAUCAUUGAUCAUUACUUGGUAUUUGUUGACUUUUUGAUCAAUUGUCAUUCUUAUAUUAACUUGAUUAUUAGAGACCUAAUUUUAGGGUAUAAAGGGGUAUUACGAUUUAUCAUCCUACCUUCUCAACAAGUAACCUGACCCUUGAACCCAGACUUGGUUUUUCAUAAACCCGUAUUUUCCUUUCAAGUUUCAUACUUAGAAUUUUUUUUUUUCCAUUUAAAAAUAAAAUAAAGAUACGUGGCCUAAAACCAUUUUCAUCAAUCCAAAGUGAGUCUUGUCUUUUUUUUUUUCAAGUAAGGACACGAUCACAGGUCUACAAUACUAUUUUAAUAUAUAUAAUGAAAUAUAGAUAUUAACGCCAUCUUAAAGAUAUAAUUAAAUUUUUUGUUUAAAAUAAAUUAUAAUAAUUUAAAAAUAAUAUUUUAUUUAAAAUAAAUUUUAGAAUAAGCAAAGUUGAUAUGUGGACAUAGAGAAUCGUGAACCAUUGUAAAUGUAUUGAUUAUAUCUCUUUCUUCCCAUUUCAUUUUUACUUUAGUUUUUAUUAUUCGUAUCUUUUUCUACUAAAAUUUGAAAAAGAAAUUCACAUUCACUUCUUCUUGGGUGUAUAUCAUAGGAUUCAAAAUGUUUUUAAAAAUUAUUAAAUUUGUUAAUUGUGACUAUAUGCUUAUUUAGGAUCCAUUGAUCUUAAUAACUUUCUUCCCGAUAUAGGAAGAAAAUGACUAUUCCAUUAAUGCAGCAUGCAUUGCUGCUUAUUUAUCAAGCAAAUUACAUUAUUAUUUUCACACCAAACCUCCAAAUUCUCCAUGCAUAUACGCAUCCUAUACUGCAUGGCCAACUUCAGAGAGCUAAAACAAGCUCUUAUUGAAUACAUGAUAGAUAAUGUCCCACUGACCCUUUUACUCUGAUACCCUGAAAUGAGAAAUUUGGAGGUUUUCCACAUCAAGCUUCUUGAAAUUACUGCGCCUUCUCGUAACAAAGAACUUUCCCCAGUUGUAUGCUCUAUACUUUGGCUUUUCCCCCUUCGUCAGCUCCUCCAAGGGCUUCACCCAAACAUGGUGCCCGGGACUCAAAACGAACGGAAUCGAGAACCUUUCCCUCUCUGAAUUCACCAUCACCCUGUGCUCCACACUUUCAUAAGUAUCGUUGCUCCAGACCUGGUUUAAUAUCAGUAGAAUUAACCAAAUGAGUGAAAAAUUCCUUGAGCCAAACACUACUGAUAAGCAUGUACUUGUAAUUCAAAGUUCUUGGGUGGUACCUGAACUAUAUCCCCAACAUUGAUGAUAUAAGCAUCUGGGGUGGGCUUAACUCGAACCCAUUCUCCAUCAGUUUUUCGCUUUACUUCCAACCCUCCAACAUCAUCCUGAGCAAGGAAAGUUAAGGCUCCGGAAUCCUUGUGGCGACCAAUGCCCAGAGCUAGGUGAGGAAUGGAGCAAGGUGGGUAGUGAUUGAGGCGGAUGAAGUUUGUUGAUUCUUCAAAGAGAAGAUUGAAUCUGUUCUCUGGCAAACCUAAGCUCAGAGAGAGGAGUCCCAACAGAUUGACAGCUAGUUUUUCCAUUUCUCUAGCAUAUUCUUCACAUACCUCCCUGUAUAAAUCAGCUCAAUUAGAACAAAAAAACUUAAGUAAUUCACUGUAGUGACUGUGCCUUAGCUGGUGGAAUUUGUACCUUAAUUCAGGAGGGUACUGAGGCCACUGAUUGAUCAGCUUUUCGAGCUCCUUGUCGUCAGGAUUAGGCGAAGCAGGGAUGAAGGCGGGGGAUGACGCCACGAUAUCAAAGACUUCCUUCCAGUCCCUAACGUUCUUGGUAUGCUCAGUAUCGAAAUACCCAAAAGGAUUCACCUCAUCUCUACUCACCUUCCUCUUCUCCUCCAAUGGCAGAGCGAAGAACUUCCUCGCCGCAUCCUCAAUUUUACGACGAGACUCGGAGGGCACCCCAUGGUUGAUGACUUGAAAGAAGCCCCAGUUCUUGCACGCAUCAGCUAUUUGAGAAACAUGGUUGGAAGCAUUGGCGGAAGAGAGAUCAAUGAGGGGGAUGCCUUCAGCUUCGAUAACAGCGAGCUUAGGCCUAUGUUGGGUGUCUUGGAUGAAAGCUGGAUCGACCUCUCCCAUGGCUGUGGUAGUGGUUAGAACUUAGAACUUAGAAAUGGCGGUUAUGCACUGCUGGUGUUAGCUGCACGUGAAGAUGGUGAGGGGGACUUGGCCACUUAGCAGGUGGUUUUUGUAGUGUAGUGGGGUUGGUUUAGUACAUUGAACCUGGACAUAAUUGGGGUUACGUUUUAAGUUUUGGUUGGGGGUGUGGGCUCAUGGGUUGCGCAAAUGUCAAUGAUAAUUGGUCAAGUGAUACCAAGUUAUUUCCAAAAUCUGCAGCCGCAAAGGGUAUCUCUCUCGAUGAUUUUGGCAACGUACAGCACUCUCCACAUUCAAAUGUUUGAUCAAAGAUACGUUUUGUUUAGUGUCGUGUAUAUUUUCGAAUUAAUUACUUCAUAUUUAGGGAUACGUUUUGUUGAGUAUCGUGUAUAUUUUCGAAUUAAAAACUUCAUAUUUAGGGAAAAGUGUGCUUCAAUACGCUAAUAUAAAAAUAUCAGCAAAAUAAGAUCCUAAUUUUUCAUAUUUUAAGGUUUAUAAUGCAAUUGGAAAUUAUUUGGAGAAUUAUGCAUUUUCAGCUCAUGUGUAUUUCAAAUCCAAAAUGCUCUCCACCUUGCCAGCCAAGUCUUACACGUUGAAAGUAAAGAGAGAAAAAAUCUUCAAAAAGCCACCAAAACCAAUUUCUCUUUCUUUUUGAGUUAUUUGAUUCAAAAGAUCAAUAAAAUCCAAUUUUUAAAAUUUAACCCUUUGUUCUUUUUUUUUUCAUUUUGAUAAAAAUAUCUUUACCAUUUUCUUGUAGAAAUAACAUUUUUUUUAAACCUAUAUGUAAAUACUUGAAAUGGUAAGAGACGUGUACAUUAAAAAAAAGUUAUUUUUCAAGUAAAAAUAUAGAAAGGAUUAUUUCAUCCCUUUUAACCAAAUAUUUAACAUGAUCAAGGACUAUUCCCUAAAUGAAGGCAUACGGUAGCAAAUACCCUUAAUCUAAACAUUAAAAGUACAACUUAUCUAGUAUCAAACACUCUGUUUUAAAACCCAUAGCCACUCCAAAUAUCCCAAAUAUUCUUUUCUAUGCAACCUCUCUCUCUCUCUUUCUCGCACAAACACACUAAAAUAUUUUCUCAAACUUGGAUUUUUCUCCACAACUCAACCCUAACUUCCUUUCUAUUUGUACCAAGGCUAGAGAAUAUAGUUUAUACUUGUAUUCCUUCAUGUACCAAGCCCACAAGAUGAUCAAUAAGUUUCUCUCUAGAUUUUACAUUGGAGUUGAUUGAUGAUAGUACCCUUAUUAGGUAGUAUAUUAUCUUCCUUAGGUACUGCUUUUUCCAUCCUUAGAUACUACCUUUGUAACCUUGGGUGCAUGAUUGAAUCCAUUGUUUCAUGGCUACUUCAAGUAAGUCAGGAACUUAUGUACAUGUGUGCUACAUGUCUUAUAGAUACUAAAUUUACAUUCUUUAGGUACUACCUUUACCUUCCAUGGGUACAAAUACGGUUAAUGAUAAGAAUUUUAAUAUAAAAAAGGGAAAAACCCUGCUUGAUAAUAAAAUUGCAUAUAUUUUCUUUCUUUCUUUCCUUUUUGAUUGAUUUUUUUUUUUUUUGGUCUUUGCUUUGGUUUUUAUUUAUGUCUUUGUUUCUUUUAGUCUUUGUGUGUGUGUGUUUUAUUUUAUCUUAUUUUCAUCUCUAUGCAGAAGAUGUAGAAGAAACAACAUCACAUCAUAAGGUGCAUUUUUCCGUUCAUUUAAGACUAAAGGUUUUGGAUUCACAAAAUGGUGGGAACUAAGGGUGAGAAGCUGGAAAAAUGUUGGAUUGAGCUACAUUUGAUCAAUGGUGAAUUUGCAAAAAAGAUUGUAGGAGAGUGUAGACCCUCAAUUUUGUCCCUUUAGCACAUGUUUUAAAGUCCAUUACCAAUACUUUACAGUAAUCUCUUGGUAGCCCAUAGCUACUCACGCUACUUACCUUUCUUGAGCCACCUCGGAGACUCUAGUUGAGGGAUUGCCUAACCCCUUAUUGUGACCCUUGGCAGUUUUGAUUUAGACUUAAGGUUUUCAUUCCUUCUUAGGAUAGCUCUUAGGUGCACUUUUAGGUCCACUUAGGCAUCACCCUUGGCUAAUUUAGACAUUUUGGGCCCGUUUAGACACCUUAAACUCGCCUAGAUUCACCUUAGACCCGCUUAAGCACUUCAUUGGGGCUCAACAUUUUUAUAUAAUCUCUUGAUCAUUAUUGCAUGCAUUUGAUGAUUAUAUUUUCUUUGUUUAUUCAUUUAUUUGUUUGUUUAUUUAUUCAUCCAUUUAUUUAUUCAUUUUUUAAUUUCUAUUACGUCUUGUUUUUUUUUUUCUUUCUUUCUUUCAUUUAUUUACCUACUUAAUAGAGAAUUGUUUAGAUAUUAAAUAUGCAUACAACCCCCUUAUUGAAUGAUGGAAUUGUACAAUCUGAUAUCUCAUUUUCUCUUUCAUUUUCUUUUAAUCGUAUUUCACUUUAUUACCAAUUUCAUGACUUUCAUUAGUUGCUUCUCUUUUCCUUUGAUUUUUUAAUCUUAUCUUAUUUUGUUUUGCAUAAGGAGCACCAUCUUGGGGAGUACAAGAGGAUCUACAUUACUGGUUUGAUCAACAUAUGUUUGAGACUAAAAGCCUUCAAGAUGGCAAAAGAUGGUCAUCACAGCCCCAUGCUUCUUCUUCCCAUCUCUCAUAAUUGAAGCCUCUGUACAAAACUUCAUCAUAUCCUGAACAAUAGCAGCCACAGCAGUUGCAGCCACAGCAGCUGCAGCCACAGCAACUGCAGCCACAACAGCUGCAGCCACAGCAGCUGCAGCGACAGCGGCAACCACAGUUAAUGCUGCAACAGCAGCCACAGCAGCAUAGACUGCAUCAUCCAGUUCAACCUUCAUUUGGUCAUUUAUCAGGGUUGCAGCCCCAACUAUUUAAUCCCCAUCUUUCCCCAGCUCCACUCAUCAUGAACAAAUAUGAAGCAAUGCUUGGGAUAGGUAAUCUGAGGGAUCAAAGACCCAAGUCAAUGCAAAAAGGUAGACCAAAUCAUCGGGUUUCUCAACAGGGCUUGGAUACUAGCAGUCGGAAGAGUGAUGUUGGUGGCCACAGUUCAGAUCCAAGUAUAUGACAGCUGAUGAAAUCGAAAGUAUCCUUAGAAUGCAACGUUGCGGAACAGAUGGAUGAGUAGAAAGGAAAAUAGCAUGAAAAUAGAAAGGAAGUGACCACUUUGUGCACAACACGCAUAUAGUGGGCUGUAAGGGGGAUUCUUUUUUGUUUAGAAAGAAAAGUCAACUUGUAUCACUUACUAAACGAGAUGUGGCUGCAUCCUUGAGGGAAUCUCCCAAUGAGCCACCAUGUAUGCACUUUCCUUAUCCAUGUGCAUUGAAAAAGGAUAUAGAAUAUUCAAUAGAGGAAAGGUGCUGCCAUAUAGAAGGAAGGUGCUGCCAUAUAAACAUGUCACAGAGAGAACACACGGUGGACUUUUCUUUUGGGAGCAGAAAUUCACAUACAAAAAGUAAUCUUUUUUAGAGGAGAUGAACACACGCAAGAGUUUUUUUUUGGGAGCGGUAGAGGACCUGAACGACUAAUUGGGCUGCCAUUUUGACACAUCAAGAAAGUAUUUUUCCAAUACAAUACAGGUUAGUUUUCGAUUUUUGAUACCGUAUUUCCUUUUUUUUUUAGUUUGGGUUUUAGUUGUUUGGUUUAAUUAAUUGUUUGUGAUAAAUUCUUUUAAAUCUCGAUUUCGAACAAUCUUUUAUUUUUCUUAUAUUAAAUGUCUAUCUUUUAUGAUUGCAAUUCAUUAGUUCUAUGCUAGUUUAUUUUUAAUUUACAUGAAAGUUUAAAUAAAGUUUAUAUUUUUAAUUCCAAUUAGUUUAUUUUUAAAUUUGAAUGAGUUAUCGAUCUUAAUUAUUUAGUUUAAUUGACCUUGUGAGAUAAAAUUUAUAUUUUUAAUUCUAAUUAGUUUAAUUUUAGUUUAUUUUUAAUUUGAAUGAGUUAUCGAUCUUAAUUCUUUAGUUUAAUCGACCUUGUGAGAUAAAAUUUAUAUUUUUAAUUCCAAUUAGUUUAAUUUUAGUUUAUUUUUAAUUUGAAUGAGUUAUCGAUUUUAAUUCUUUGGUUUAAUUGUCCUUGUGAGAUAAAAUUUAUAUUUUUAAUUCCAAUUAGUUUAAUUUUAGUUUAUUUUUAAUUUGAAUGAGUUAUUGAUCUUAAAUCUAUUAGUUUAAUUGGACUUGUAAGGUAAAGUUUAUAUUUUUAAUUCCGAUUAGUUUAAUUUUAGUUUAUUUUUAAUUUGAAUGAGUUAUUGAUCUUAAAUCUAUUAGUUUAAUUGGACUUGUAAGGUAAAAUUUAUAUUUUUAAUUCUAAUUAGUUUAAUUUUAGUUUAUUUUUAAUUCGAAUGAGUCAUUGAUCUUAAUCUAUUAGUUUAAUUGGUCUUGUAAGGUAAAGUUUAUAUUUUUAAUUCCGAUUAGUUUAAAUUCUAGUUUAUUUUUAAUUUGAAUGUGUUAUCGAUCUUAAUUCUUUAGUUUAAUCGAUCUUGUGAGGUAAAGUUUACAUUUUUAAUUCCAAUUAGUCUAAUUCUAGUUAUUCAUGUGUUUCUUGAAAUCUAAAUGUUAGUUUUUGAAUGAUAAUUUUGUUAGUUUGUUUGAUUAGGAAGUCAUAAAUUUGUUGUCUUAGUGAUUGUUGGUCAAUUUUUUUUUAGGACCACUGGAAACCCAUGAAGGUUGGCCUUUACUCUCACCACUUUAAUUGAUAAGAUUUUCUAAAAUCUUUAUUUCGUGAUCUUUGUUUCCUUUUGUUUUGAUUGAUAUUUUGUUUUCUAUUUUUGUUAUUUUAAAAAUUAAUUUCUUUUAUUUUAAAACAAAACUCUUUUUCUCAAAAAAACCCUUUUUAAAAUUUUUUUUUUAUUAUUCAUUUAAAGCCUCUAGAAUCAAAAUCUAUUUUCUUUUUUAAAAAAUAACAUGCAACCAUAUCUUAAUCAGUUUGCAUCCUUCUCAAUUUUCAACAAAAAUAUCCUUCUCAAUUUUCAACAAAAAUUUUGGUUUUAAACAAAACGCGAAUCAAAGCUUGUGGUCCCAAAUAAAUGGAACAAUUUUAGGCUAAAUUCAUGUAUAUUAAUUUGGGGAAUUGGUGAAACCCCUACAUAAGAAAAUCUUUUCAAAAUUUACUUUUGCUACCACCCUACUAUUUAUCAUAAUCAUAUUUACUUUUUUUCUUUUUAGGAAUUGUAUACAAGAUAUGUAUGAUAAUUAAUUAUUCCGAGUUCUGAUAAUUUUUGCUAAUUAAUUAGAUAAGCAUGCUAGGAUUUAUUAUUUAUUAUCUAUUAUCUAUUAUCUAACCCUCAUGUUCUGAGGAAGUGCAUUAGGAGUUAUAUAUGCUAUCCAGGUACGUUCCCAAAAUCUCAUGAAUAUGCAUGUCAUUACCCUUGUUUGAUGCCAUACUUGAUUGCCUCGAUGCUUGUUUGAUCAUCCUUGAUAAAAUGCAUGUCGUGUGUCAUAUUUCUGAAUUAACCAUUGAUGUUUAAUGAUAGUGCUUAAGAAGUGGUUCAGGUACGCACCCUAACUCUCCUUUAUUGUGAUUGAUCUCCUUAUUUAGCAUGCUACUUUCUGAAAAUCACCUAGCUUACUUAAGUAUCCAUAAUUAAUCAAUUAAUUGCCUCAUUUCCCCAAUUUAGUCAGUAAAGACCUCUUUAGGGCUUAGAAGGGUGCUACCUCCUAGAGGUACCUUCCCAAUAAGUAACCUGAUCCCCGGACCUAGACUCGGGUUUUUCAAAGACAUGUUUUUUUCAAAAAUUAUGGAGUCACAUUUUAGGGUUUUUCUUUCUUGUUUUAUUUUCCCUUUAAAAUAAAAAUAAAAUAAGUGGCGGCUCCAACUUUUCCAAAACUAAAUAAUUUUUCACAAAUAAAAAAAGAGUCUCGCCAAUCGAGUGGGGACGCAUGUGAAAAAUGCAGGUCCACAGAGAGGUUUCUUGAGGUGGACAAGGUCAGAAGCAAAGAGCCUUUCCCUACUUUUUGGGGUUGGUUCCUUGAGUUCUUAGGAAGAACUUAGUUAACGUGUGAAUUCAUUCAGGGUAAUUUAUGUAAGAUUUUCUAGAUUUUGCAAGUGAAUGCACCUUAGCUUUUCCUAUUGUAUUUGUGUUUUUUUAGGUUGAUUAUUUUAUUGAUUGUCACCACUCAAGGAAUGGAAGCAAUAGGGUCUCUAGAUGUAGUGCCUAAAGGCAAGCAUACAGGCGUUGUUAGGAGUGUGCUUCCCAUGUCCAACAAGCAUAUUGACACCACCCAAAGCCAAGGCAUCUUUGGACUAGGAGUUCUAGCUUCUACUUAUGUGGACUUUGUAGAUGCAGUCUGGCUCUUCGAAAUAUUUAUUGUUAUGUAGUAGUUAUACACAUGUACUUUGUUUAAGUGAAUUGAUUUUUGGAUUUUUACUUAAAUCAAAUUUAAGGGUAUGUUGUUUAAUUUACUAGAGAUCUCUUGUUUGUAAUUCUCGUUAUCAUAUAUAGAUCUUUGUUAGUAUUUGCCAAUUUCCUCAAUAGCAACUGUAUUAGUUAUCAAUGGAAUGAAUCUUGAGUAACUUGUAGUAUCAUUUUUGGUUUUGAAUUGGCUAAUCUUUUUUGGAAGAAUGAAUUAGAUAUAUGAGCUUGAUUGCAAGCAAUAGUUGAGUUUGUUUUGAUCUUGGGGUAUUUGCCUUAUUGAUAGGACAUAGAUUUUGGGUCCAAAUAGUUGGAAAUUGAUGAGCUUAACCAGGACAUAGAUUUUAUCCCCUUGGGAGAACCACAACACUAACCAGUGUUCCUACAAAAGCUAAUAACCAUGAUUUAGAAAUGUGAUUUCCCUAAAGGGAAGCAUUUCUAAUCUUAUUUGAAGGGAAACUUUGAUGUCUUCCUUAAUACACUAGAAUAUUAAUUUAAAAACAACAAUUAAGGUUAUAUUAACUAUUAUAAUAAUUUAUAAAUUACAUAAAUAUGAUAAUAACUAUUAAAAUAAAAGUAUUAAACAUAAAAAUGUUUAAUUCUGUUGGGUAAAAACUUCAUAAAUAUUUUAUUAUUGAACUUCUAUCAUAUGAUCAAACAUAGUGAUGAUCCUUAGUUGGAUUAAUUAACACUUGUUUCAUAAAUUGAACAACAUAUAACAUGAUCAAUAAACAAACAAGUAAACAUCAUACUAGAUAAAACUAUCUCUUAAGAUUUCAAUUAUUACAUGUUUAAAUUACAAAUCAUAUUUUUGCAACUUUCGUAAAGUUAUGCAAUAGAUAUAAUUAAAAUUAUGAAACAUUGAAAAUGUAUAUUGAUUCAUUAUUCAAAUUCAUCAUAUCAUAUAUAUACUUUAGUUGUCCAUAAGAUCAAAUAAUAACCAAAAUUCGAAAAAUAUGUUUUAUGAUCCAAAAUUGAUUGACACUAAUAUCAAUUGUUACAUAAACUUUAUGUGAAAUAAUUAUUUUGGAAAAUCAAUUUGGAUGCAUAAAGCAUAAUAGUUAUAAGAAAUAAAGAAAUGACAAAAUAAUAAUUAUAUUUUUGUCUUAAUCCAUGAUACCGAUAACACUUUUAAAGUGAGUUCGAGUCACUUUGUGAAUUGUUGGGUCAAGGUAUUCAACUCAUCAUUCUCAUUUAGUAGAUGAGACAAUUGUGUGGUAUAUGUUGUUAUAAGCAAAACAACUAAAAACAUAAGAAUACAAUACAACUUAGGACCUUAACUUUAAAAAAAGAUUUAUAACUCUUAAUCUUCUCAUAAAAGAUUAUAUGAGAGUUAUACUCAUUAUUUUUAAACAUUAUAUAUAAAUUAAUGGACAAUAGUAAACUACCAACUUGAAUACAUUCAUGUAAUUAUAUAAAUUACACUUUUUCAUCUUCCUCUAUUAGUCAUAAACUUUAUAUAUAAAUUAAAUCUCAUAAUGAUGGAGUUACAAAAGUUGUAAUACCAUAUUCGUAUAAAUGAAAAUUUUCUAACUCCAUAUUUAUAAUUUUAAUUUUCUAUGUUAGAAGUUGAAUUUGUUCCACAUCGCCAAGUUACCGGGUUAUUAUGUUGUUUAUAUAUGUGGAUUGGGCACCCUCUCCCUUUAAGCAAGCUUUUAGGGAUGAAUUAUAUUCAAACCCAUUUAACAUGGUAUCAGAGCUUGGUUUGACUGGGGGUCGUGGGUUCAAGCCACCUCUUCGCAAUUCGUAUGUUUGUUCCUCAUUUGCAUGUUUGAAAGUCUAGAAAAGGGUAUUUGCAUUUGUUUGUUUGUCCCUUCACGUGUGGAUAUGGGGCCACACAUAAGAUAUGGUGUUAAAAAGCAUGAAAUGUAUAUUGAACCCAAAUCUUAUAAGUUUAAGCUUUUAGGAAAAUUAGUAAUUCAACAUUCUAUACAUAAAAUUAUUUGAUGUCCAAUCAAUUGAUUCACCUACCUAUCAAUUAAUAUACUUUUAAAUAAAAUAUAUUUCAAUCCAUUACACAAAUAUAAUUAAAACAAAGUACUAUAAUAAUAUGAGUAUGUGACAAAUAAAUAAAAUAAAAAUAAUCACAUGUUACAUGUAAACUAUAUUCAAAGGAAAAACCACAAGUCAUCCCCACUAUUAAACAAUCCAUUGUAUAAUGAUCAAUUACAAAGACCAAGUAUUACCAAACUUAAAAGUAUCUAAAUCAUACUCACUUUGCACAUUUUCUUUAUACUUGGAUCCUUUAAACUCAUUUAUCCCAAUGUGGAAGCAUCUUGAGUUCUAAUCAAGGAAAUCAACCUUUACUUCAUCAAGUUAAAGUCUCUUUAUAUCAUUGACAACCAUAUCAAGAUUUCUUUUGUUGGUUGCUUUCAAAGUCCCACUAGAAUUAGAUUGAAAUUUUUAUAAUCUCUAGAACUUUAACAUAUUAAUUCUUCAAUGAGUCAAUCAAAUAUUAAGUUUUAUCUCCAUAGAUGGACCUCAAUGAAUUUUUCGACAAAGGUGUUAACACUAAUUUCAUAUUAGUAAAAAAAAAUCAUGUGACACAUAUUGAUAUAUAUAUAUAUAUACUAAUUUCAUAUUCAUAGAUUGAAUUCAUGAGAAAAUUAUUCUUAAUUUUGUAAAAAUUAUAUAUAUAAGAAAGUUUUUAGGCUUACUAAAACACAUUACUAACCAAGUGGCAAUAUAUUUAUAAUUUAGGUCUCAUUAUUUUGUAAUCAAGUUUCAUUCAUUUGUAUCAUAUAUGAGUCCUAUUAUGUCAUACCUUACUCUUAUUACAUUGUACUUUGAUCUUAUUUGUUUAAACAUCGAUUUCAUUUCUUUAUAUGUACAUCACAUUUAUUUAUAUCUCAAUCUUAAUUAUUUGUAUCUUUAUUUAACAGUUUAGAUUUCAUUACAUAUUUUUAAAAUUUUAAUUUGAAAUUCGAUAUCUUAGUAUUUUUCUAAAAUAGCUACCUAUAAUCCUUGUAGAGUACUCAAAAUUCACUCCAACCCAUAAAAAAAAAUGACCUCUCUUCGUAAGUUGCUAUACUCAUUGCUAAACUAUAAUUCCAAAAUUAGCAGAACUUUUCAUACUUAUUCUAGGCAAUUAGAGUUGAGAUGUUCCGGGCAUAUACCAUAUUCUUUCAAGAUUUGAAAGAAAUGUUACGAUUUCAGCAUUAAAUAAUGCAUGUCGAUUAACAAUAUUGCUCAGAUUCUUUAGGCAAAGGUCCACAGACAAAAAAAUUAUUUAUUUAUUUUCUGAACCACCCCUGAAAUUGACACCUCCCAUACAGUCUGAUCUGCAUUUCUGUGGCACUAUUUCCCUUAUUCCUAACCAUAAAUCUGCUGCCAUCUCAAUAAUUCACAUCCUUAUCCACUCCUUAUCUAGGGUUGUAACACUUUUUUCAAAAAGAUUUUUUUUUUUUUUUUUCGAAGGGGUGGAUAAGGGUCCUGAGACAAGCUGUGGUAUAAUUAUAAACCCACUUGGGUAAUGGUUUCAUUGUCAGGGUAAUUCUAUUUAAGGUGAAAAUCAGCUGGGUCUAUCAUUCUUGUUUCCAUGUGACUGUUUCCAAGGAGAACUCAACCCUCAAAUCCAUCGAGCAGUCAUAUAAAAAUACACGCAGAUUUCAUAUCUUGAAGCUUGUCCUGUGUUCAGAUCGGAUAACUCACUCAUAUGCCUAAUCACUAAUCGCCAACUUGAGUGUAAAAAAAGCGUGGGGCGAUAUUAUUUGUAUAUGGGUUUGACUGUUUGAGAGAGAAAGGUGGGGUGUCCCUUGGAGGAGUCCAAAGGCCAUUUUUGAACCUGCCUUUGAUUAUCGCCAUGGCAAAUCAACAGCUUGUAGUAUAUAUAUAUUAAUGGAGACCAAGACUCAAAUAGAGAGAGAGACGCGGGGAUGCGAUAAAGAGAACAGUAUAGCCAAGAGUAUAUAAGCAUUUCUCUUGCUGUAAUGGUGAUUCAGAGACUGGAAAUGUGUAUAUCACUGCUGAAAAUGGCAGUAGAGUUUGUGCUUGUUUUCGCGGAGGCAGUCGGGCUAGUCAUCAACCACAAUGCCACGCCGCUUUUGGCAAACUCAGCCUCAGUUGGCAAUGAUGUUUCUGUCCCUUUUAUCGGUUUUCUUCUUUGAAUUCUUCGUCUUGUAGUUUCCUUCCUUACCAGAAUGCUCAUUGGCCAUUGUAUAUGUUGAGGGUUCUUUUUUGCCUUGAUAGAUUUUCUAAAGGAUGUGCAUGUUUGAUAGGAGAGAGUAUAUAUACACAUCUAUGUAAACUUUGAUUAAAUUUUGUUCUGGGUGAGCUUCAUUUUCUGCAAAUUCAUUUGCUGAUAGCUUUGGAAACGAAUCUUCAGUUGUUUGGGUGCUGAUUAUUUGCUUGCUUCACACGAUUUUAUGUGCUGUUCCUUUGGUAAUAAUCUUGUUGGGUGGAUCAAGGAGAAGAGCGAAGAUCUGAGGGAAAAUAGAGUCUGGAGAAAGAAAAGAUGUAAUGAUGAUUAAGAAAGGCUUUAAUAUACUUGCAAGAUCAGGAAAAAAUAUUUCUUGGGUAUCAAUUAUUUUCUUGCUUGAUAUGGGUUUGAUACUCUUUUUCAAUUGGUGAUCAUUCUGGGAAGAUCAAGAAGAAGAAAAUGGGGUCUAGAUGAAGAAAAGCUAUAAUGGCGAUUAUUAAGUGGAAUCAGAUGAAAUAAAAGUCUGUUUCCAUCAUUCUUAAUAUGGUUUCUUUUGUCAAAAAUGGAAGAUGACUUGAUUUUCAUAGUCCCAGCAGGACUUUAGUACUCAUCAAACUCAUAAAUUUUGAACAACUUUGAGCUAACCUUCUGCAUUAAUUUGGUGCAUCUGCGCAGUUGCAGAGUAUGAACACCCACAAAAUCUUAAUAUGAAUCUUUUGGGGCAAUAGCUUCUAUAUAUGAUGGAUGAUAAGAACAAAGCAAAUCUUGGGUUCUCCAUGGGCACGAUCAUUUAUCCGCCAUAUAAAAUGCAGAUUUUCCUAACACCAACCCCUUAUUUUAAUAAAGUCAAGUUAUUUUAAGGCCCCCAAUAUUAGACAUGCCUUAGAAUCAUUGGGUCUGUGAUUAAAAAUGUAGUAAUAUCAUUUAAAAUACCUAACACUGAAAUUUUGAUAAUUUUGAAUGCCAUAGUGUGGAUUUGAAGAAAGAAAUCGCAUCCAAGAUCUCUUCCUUUUCCUGGGAAACAUUAGUCUUGGUCAAUUAUGAACUGUUACACGUUGCCUAUCAUGGUCAUAUUUAUAUUAGCUUUGAUUUCUAUGGGGGAUAUAAUUUAUUUGUAUGCUAAUCAUAGAGGUGAUACAUGUGAUCCACAUGUCAUAUUUGGACUUGGAAGCAAUCAUUGGAUUCCUUUGAUGAACUGGCAAUGGAAGAAUACUAAUUGCUCCGGUCCCUUUCUUUUUUCAAAGUAGGAUGAUCAGGUCCUUUGAUCCCUUCGACUCCCUCUGGCUGUUUUUCUUUGUUCUUUUUUCAAUCAUCCAUAGCUUAAAAUUAAAGCCUUGAUGCCCUCCUCGACUUUCCCAAGAUAAAACACCUUAUCUUCACUUUAUUUCUCUUCCCUUUAAAUUUGAUUUUAGAUCUGAAAUCCAGGGCUUAUGACCCUGUAGAAGAAAGACAGAUAUGAAGCUUGGGAUGAUUUGAACUUCAGUUUGAUUUUCUGCACACUCUGUUAAAACUCCUGAAAUAUAGUUGUAUAUUGCAAUACAUUUAAUUGUUUGAUACAUCUGAACUAUGAUGUUCUAUUAGUAAAAAUUUCUUUGAAUCAAUCCACGGCUCAAAGUACCAAUUUCUAUUGAAACUUUUUUUCUUUUCCUGCUCAUUCAAUUGUUUCAUUUUCCACAUAAUGGUAUGACAACAUCAAGAAUACUUCUCAGCAAUUGCCUGCAGGUGAACCCAAAGCUCUUUUGGCUUAGAGAUCAUGACCAUGUGAUCAGAUCCUUUAAUCUCUUUAACAGCAUCAGGUGGGUUUUUUUCAAUCAUCCAGAGUUGAAAAUCCCUUUUCCCCAGCUUGUCUUCCUCUGAAAUAAUAAAGACACGUUUAACCGAGGCAUAUUUCUUCGACAACAUGAGCUCAUUUGACAUGUCUUCUUCAAUGAACAAGCGUACGGGUCUCAUCAACACAGUCCCUAGUGCCAAGUCCUGGAAUAUUUGUGCCCGAAAUGAUAUGACAACAACAAUGAAGGUCUCAUGAUUUUGGUUGUAAGGCCUUAAUAAAUGGAGUUCUCACCUCAGUUGGGCUCAACUGAUACACAUUCAGUGAUAAGAACAAGGGGCCAAAGCUGAAAGUGGUGGGAGGAUUGUUGGGGCCAUUAUCAUAUGUGAACUGGCUGUCUAGUAGAGGACCUUGUCUCCUGAGUGACUUCAAUAAGAAGUAGAAACCAGGCUAAAAGUCAGAAACAGGGGAAGCCUUCCCCUCUUAAUCAGCAAGUAAAUUUCUGUAAAAGAAAAAUAGUAUGUAUGAAGUACCUCUUGAUUGAGAGUGGAAAUGUUGAGAGUGGGACCAGGCAUUGAGGCAGUAACAAAAACAGCUACAGAAACCUUUUCUGGGAACUUCUCCAUGGCCUGAGAAAUGGCCAAUCCACCCAAGCUGUGUCCAACGAGAACCACCCUCUCAUCUGCAGGGAGUGACUCCACGAAGUCCCUCAGUGGCUGGAAAUACCAAGAAAUUGAUCGCAGAUCACCCACUUGUUUUGGGUUAAUUCCAGAAGCAGCCAAGUCCAGAGCAGUAACUUUGUGGCCAGAUGAUUUUAGUAGUGCCACAAUCUUGUACCAAGACCAGGCACCAUGGCAAGACCCAUGAACUAGAACAAAGUGCUUGACGGGAUUAGCCUGUCUCCCCUCUGAUGCCAUUGGAUACACUGAAGAAACAAGAAAAAUCAGAAAGGAAACAAAAAUCAUAUGCUUCUUCCUUGCUUCCAUACUCCUUUCCUGUUACAGAGAUGGUCAGCACCCCAGCAUUUUAAAGGGCACAAUUGGGUAGGUUUUCACUACAACUACUAAUCUAAUUGAUUAAAAAUUUUCCCGUGAAAUUGACUCUAGAAAUAAAAUAAGGACUAAGGAUUCAAGAACACGUACACUUUGACUGCCAGAGUUUAUGUCUUUUCAUAGAUGACACAUGCACCUGCGUCACACUCUUUUUCAAUGAUAAAGAAGUUAUGCAAAGGAAGAAAGAAUGAAAUAUACAGAGUCAAGUAGUUAACUCCUCCCCUUGAAUUCUUCUCUUGCCCGGAUUGGUUUGUAACUGCAAACAUUUUCUUUUCCCAAUGUGAUCUGUGGAUUGAGUUCUGAUCUCAAUUUGUUUUUGGCAUUUUUGGUUUUGCUUCUGCAAAUCUUGAGAUGUAUCUUUCAAUUAAUAUAAGUUGUGCAGUUAAGGUUUUUGGACAUAUAAAAUGUUAGCCAAACCUUUCCCGUGGCAGGUUGAAGGUACUUUGGGGUAGGCUUGGUCAUGCUUGAUACCUCAGUCUGACUCAAACAUGAUGUUUUCACCCAUUUGAAUUGAUCAAAGUUGUGUUGACUGGCAUGAUUCCUUUAAUAAAGAAGUUGUUUUAGGAUUAAGGCGUACAACACAAAUUUGACUUAAGUAGAUCUAUUUAAUUAUUGUGUAUUAACAUAAUUAUAAUCAAUUGAGUCGAAAAUGAAUUAAAUUAAAAAGUUAAUUUUAUUGAUUUAAAUAAGACCUAAUUCAACCUGAUUAUUAAAUUACUCAACUUAUUAUAUGAUUUGAACACUGCCCACCAACAUUAAUUGUAACCCGUGCUUUGAGUUCAGGUGGCAGCAAGAGUUUGGCCUUUGUUUUGAGUGUUGGAUGAAUGUUGGAUUAACCUUUCCCAUGGCUGUCAAAUUCCUCAUAAAUUAUUGGUGAUUGUAAUAAUUUCCUCAAAAAGUAAUGGUGCUAUAUGCUUCUUUAGGAUCCAUUGAUCUUAAUAAUUCUCUUCCUGGUAUAGGAAGAAAGUGACUAUUCCAUUACUGCAGCUUUCAUUGCUGCUUAUUUAUCAAGCAAAUUACAUUAUUAUUUUCACACCAAAUCUCCAAAUUCACCAUGUACUUAUCCUAUAUACUGCAUGGUGAACUUCAGAGAGCUAAAACAAGCUCUUAUUGAAUACAUGAUAGAUGAUGUCCCACUGACCCUUUUACUCUGAUACCUUGAAAUGAGAAAUUUGGAGGUUUUCCACAUCAAGCUUCUUGAAAUUACUGCGCCUUCUCGCAGCAAAGAACUUUCCCCAGUUGUAUGCUCUGUACUUUGGCUUUUCUCCCUUCGUCAGCUCCUCCAAGGGCUUCACCCAAACAUGGUGCCCGGGACUGAAAAAGACCGGAAUUGAGAACCUUUCCCUCUCUGAAUUCACCGUCACCCUGUGCUCGACACUUUCAUAAGUAUCGUUGCUCCAGACCUGGUUUAAUAUCAGUAUAAUUAGCCAAAAGGGUGCAAAAUUUCUUGAUCCCAACAGUACUGAUAAGCAUGUACUUAUAAUUCAAAGUUCUUGGGUGGUACCUGAAUUAUAUCCCCAACAUUGAUGAUAAAAGCAUCUGGGGUGGGCUUAACUCGAACCCAUUCUCCAUUGGUUUUUCGCUUUACUUCCAACCCUCCAACAUCAUCCUGGGCAAGGAUGGUUAAGGCUCUGGAAUCCUUGUGGCGACCAACGCCCAAAGCUAGGUGAGGGAUGGGGCAAGGUGGGUAGUGAUUGAGGCGGAUGAAGUUUGUUGAUUCUUCAAAGAGAAUAUUGAAUCUGUUUUCUGGCA
Molecule: long non-coding RNA, 69105 nt
Filed under: Vitis vinifera (wine grape)
Lineage: Eukaryota; Viridiplantae; Streptophyta; Magnoliopsida; Vitales; Vitaceae
Description: long non-coding RNA (VVIN_LNC000686)
Source: RNAcentral